RNAcentral lists this long non-coding RNA (76734 nucleotides) under Citrus maxima (pomelo). Its description in RNAcentral is "long non-coding RNA (CMAX_LNC000227)". Lineage: Eukaryota; Viridiplantae; Streptophyta; Magnoliopsida; Sapindales; Rutaceae. The record is from RNAcentral.
AUGUGCCCGGGUCGAGCACUGGAAGCGUGCAAUGCAGACUGAUUGAUUUAUCAGUUUGAUGUGUGCCAGGAAUGAAGAACUGGAAUAUCACCGUCAAGCAAGCACCCAGUGAAGCAAUACCAUAGAAUGCACAAUCCGGCCUUGCUAGGUGACACUGGGGGCUUUUUGAAAAGUGCUUCAUGCUCACUUGCACAGAUUGAGCAUCCCCUCUGGAUAUUGCCCUCUCUGAUCGAGUCAGAGCACUCAAAUUUCGGUCCUCAGAUGGAGCUACAGCUUUCUCUCCAAUAACCAACAAUUUUCUAAACUCAGCACCUAGUGUGAUCAGAGUUGUUGAUAUUUGUAAAUGGAGAUCCCCAUAUUUGCAAAUGGAGACAUUUAACAAAUCACCAACAUGCUUCAUCCGGUCUACGAAAUUCUGCAGCUGAUUCAAAUCCGGAACCUGAACCAGAGUCGGAGGUAAAUCUUGAGCCAUAUCUAAAGCAGUUUGAAGUUCAAGUACUUGAGCCCUCGACAGUGGUUUUGAAAUUGGAACAUCUUGAAUUACUGCAGACUUGUACCCUUUGGUUUCAAAGGUAAGGAAAGGCAUUGCUUGAGUACAAUUUGGAGGCAGCUUCUUCACCAAUUUUAUUUGGAGGCGAUUGGCAGCAGAUCCAGCUGCACCAUUUUCAGAGCAAAUACUGACACUACUUCAAACAGCACGCUGAAGAAGCGCUAUGUCUACGGCAAAGGCAAUGCAGUCCUCAUUUUGGCUUGAGAUGCGGUAAUCAUCGAAGAGAGUUUCCUUAUGAAACUGGGCAACACAUUGAAUCCCUUCACCACUGAGAAGGUUGUGGAGGAAGUACGCUUUCUCUCUAGUGAGGAAGAGGUGGCAUACCUUCCCCAUUUUGUCUAGGGCAGUUAGGAAUCUUUUUUCUAAGAGAUUUACUCCAUUCUCUGUGAGAAAUGCUUUGAACUUCAUCCCUCUGUCUCUAUCCUCACUUAUCAGUAAAACAGUUGAAAGUGAUACAAGGAGAGAAAAGGAGAGUACUAAGAUAUAUAGACAAGAAAAACAUUAGGUGUCGAUCUUACAUGUUAAUACUUCAAACAGUAUCCUAGAAAGCUAAAAACUGCAGAAUGGCUUGAAAUUUGAAAAGAACACAUGCUUUUCCUCCUUAACUUGAGAAAAUGUUUAACAUAGCGCGCCUUACAGAAGCAAGCAAUUAGAACUUUGCACAAAAACAUUCAAGAAGACCAAUAUUUCAACUAUUUUACUGAUGAAAAUCUCAAAGCACAAAUGGCAUUGCAUUUUGUCCUCAACUGUAAUAUUUAUUGAUGAAAAUCAGUACAGGUCCCUCAUUUGUUAUGGAAAGCUUUCUUGCAAAGUGACGGACAUUUCUUUCGAUUUAAAGUCUUUGCAUCACCACUUCAUCACACACCAAGCCAAUAUUCUGUCUACCUCUACAACAAAAAGUUUUAAGUAAACGAUCCUAAUGCACGCAGCCAAAUAAAAUGCAGUAAGAAUAUUCAACUUAAAAAUCUGAAAGUCAACUUGGUGAAUUGCCUUCUUAGGGGAAGUUCCAUGAUUUACUAUACUAGACAGAACUGAGCAAAAGCUUCCAUACGACAGAUUUUGACAAUAAUGAUGCCAACAGAUCCUCAUUAAAUCCAUUAAAACUCCUAAGGUUCAUUGUUCAUGGAUGUUUACAGAGUGAAAAUUAGAUCACCAGCAGCUAAUUGUAAAUUCAAACUUAACUCUUCAUCUCCUUUGUAAACAGGAAACAAAAUGGAGACACGCAAAAUGAAUAAGGAGAACAUUUGAACUCAAAUGAAAUGAGGGCACGAAAGCAAACAAAUGGCAUGCACAAACAAACCAAGCCUCAAUAAAAAACUAAUUAACCAUUAAAAAAAAAAAAAACUGGUCAGAGAAUGAACUCCAAAUUCGGUUCGGGAGUGAAGCAAGAAGCUUUAUUAUUUCAGAAGCUCCUGUACAAAUUAAUAAGUUAUGCUCUUUGGAAACAAACCUAAAUUCCAUGAGAAACAGAACUCAAAAAAUUUGCAAUUAUACGCCAAGGAAGUGAAGCACAGCAUUCUAUCACACGUACGAAUUGUAUAACAAGAGAUCGACACAUCGAAUCAGAAGAACUCAAUUCAAAUUUGUCUCAAAAAUCAAAAUUAGAAGAUUUCACAUUUCGAGAGGAACAAGGGACAGGUCAGAUGCAAAAUUUUCAGCCACAACAUGCCACAAUUAACGGUUUAUUUCCAUGGAUUUAGAGAGCUAACUGACCUUUUGGCUUUUGGAAUUGAGAAGAUCGCGCGCCAAAAUGGAAGAGGGAAAGCGAAAGUGCGGGUUUUAAUAGGGUAUUGGAUUAGCAAAUUUUAUUAGUUUGCGGGGGUAAAAUAGGAAAGAGAUAUCACUAUUAACCUUUUUUUUAUAAGAAAAAAGAAUAAUAAAGAAUAUUUUAUUGUCAUUUGCAGCCUUUAAUUUUUUUUUAAAUGCUAUUAGAAAAAUACGACGACAAAGAAAUGCUAUUUUUUUAUUUUUUUCUUGAAGGUGAAAUCAAUUAUUUAGCUCCUUAUAUGUAAUCAAACUCCAUUUCUUACUUUAAGUCAUAUCCAACGGACCAACAAAAUAAUUAUUUUUUUUUCAUUCAUUUUUGCAGAAAAUUAAUAACUUAAAAAUAUUGAAAGCUAUUGUAAAAUUUUUUAUUAUCAACCUCAUAAUUUAAUUUUUUUGGGGAAGAAUUGAAUUUUUUUUUUUAAUUUCCAAGAAUUUCAUUCUCUAGUUUUUCCAUUAAUAUUACUUAUCUUCAUACCCAUCUUAAUUAAAAUCUGUAGUUUUAUUCAAGAGUCAUGCUAUUCAUUCACUCGGACCAAAGGCUUUCCGCAGCAAUAUUAUUAUUUAAAUUACAACAAAGGGGAAAUCAAAUACGUCAUACAGAGGCUUAAAGCUCAAUCUACAAAAUCUAGAGUUCUCAACUACAUAAAUUACACUUGAUGAUCCUCUACAAGAUGAAUCUUGUUCAAUAUCUCAUCCAAAGCUUAUAAAGUAACCUUGUAACGAUCUUGAGAUUGCCUGCCUUCCUCGACGACCUGCACCAUGCGUUUGUACAAAUCAUCUGUGAUCAAGAACAUAAGAGCGUUUAACAUCUUUUCUCCAUCGAGAAAGAAUGUAGUGAGAUGGGAUCUCCUCCAUACCACUCUGGUUUAGAACACAAAGAAUGUGUCUGCAUAAAUAUCCUCUGAAAUUGAACAACCCACAAACACAAAGCACCUCCAAGUCGGAGGCAUUGUACAAAACAUCGAAAGCCCUUGAAUCUUUCUCGUUGCUACCAACCUCAAAUUCUUCCUUCACUAUGUAUGUUAUAGGUCCAUCAGCACUGACAUGUUUUGUGCUAUAGCAAGAGUACAUAGCCUCCACCUCCAUCUGAAACUUCCUUAACAUUUCAUUUGUGUACAGUUUUGAGAGUUGAAAUUCAUAGGAACAUCUUGGUUUCUGGAUACAACUUGAAUUUCUUGAAUCCAUAUCUGCCAAGGCUUCCAGUUGAUAAUUCGCCUGCAGUGCUUGAUCAUAUUUGUCUAAGUAUUCUUUCAAAGGAGUAUUCUUAUCAAGAUAUCCUUCAAAGUAUGAAGUAGAAACCUCACUCUGCAGGAAUGAAAACACUCCUGAUAAAAAUGUUUCCUUCAAAUAAACAGGAGCCCAACUUUUACGAUCCUCAUAUAAAGUUUGAAUCCAUCCAUGAUCCCUUAUUCCAUGACGUUGAAUCGUGUCCUCCCAAGCUGUCUCAAAUUCCUCAGGCCUAAGAGAGUGACAAAUUGCUCUAUGCAAUGCAGCUCUAAUAGCUUCAUAUUCAAAAUAUCCUUGGAGAUUCUCUGGAAUUUUUUGCAUGACGCAUGACAAUGAAAAACAAUGAUAAGCUCUUGGGAAAACAUCGCCGACAGCAGUUUGCAAGAUCUACAUUGGUCAGUGAUGAUUGUUUGUGGAGAGCGUCCUAACAUACAUGUAAGCCACACCCUAAACAACCAUGUAUAUGAUUCUAUAGUCUCACCGGCAAGUAAACCACAGCCCAACAGCACUGAUUGUCCAUGAUGAUUCACCCCAAUGAACGAAACCAGCGUUGCAUCAUAUCUUUCUGUCAAGCAUGUAGUAUCAAUUGAUUUGAGCUAUUAACAUCAUUUCCAAAUACUCCAUUGGCAUCUACAUUACCAUUUCCCUCGGCAUCAAUGAUAAGAGUUCGAAACAGUCUAAUCUUUUGAACUUCUUCAGCACCAUCUAAGAGCAAUGUUCUUUUGGUUCCAAUACCCAUGUGCUUAUGAGACUUGUAAAACUUCCCGCUUCUUGGGCUUAACAAGUGGUUAUGCUCAAGCUCGACUUCAAUGAUUCUCCACCUUUUGGUUUCCAUCAACCUAAACUUUAUCAUUGCUGGACAGCCCGUUCUUGUUUCUGGUCUUGGGCGGUUUGCCUCGCUUUUCUUCUUGAAGCCUGCAUUACUACAGCUGAGCUUUCCUUUAUACUUUUCUCUACUCUUUUGGUACCAUGUAUUGCUAACUCCAACACCAAAACCCUGUUCCUUGGCAUAGCAAUUAUAAAAGUAAUAUACGUCAUCAUACGUCUCAAACUCCAUUCCAACAGCAGGAGGCAAUGGAUUUUGGAUUAUCCCAGUUUGUCCAACAUAUUCAGUCAUCGCACAAUCUCCUACGACCUCAAAAUCAUCAGCUUCAUCAUCACCUACUGGUUCAGUAUUCAGAGAAACUUCAUCCAUCUACAAUAGAUGUUUAAUGAAGUGAGCUUUAAGGAGAAAAAGCAAAAUCAGUUCAAGGAAAGAUAAUAUAACCAUACAGUUACUUUCACAAAGCUGCGUAUUUCAUCAAUACUUUAACAACAUACAACUGCCUGAGAACAUAUAGACAUGUCAUAGACGUUUGAAUUAAGUAUUGGUACAAAUUAGCACACAUCAUGUGGGACACAAUUUCAGUCACUAAACCCAAUGCCUUUUUUUUUUCACAUCAUACCAAGGAACGGAUUAAACCCAAUACCUUCUUUUACGCCAUACCAAAGAACAGAUUAAAUCAUCAAUGAAAAUUUAAUCAAAUAAUAAUUUAACUAGACAAUUGAAGAGCUUGAAACAGCACAAAACUUGAAUCUGAUUAUGAUAAUUGUUGAGUCCUUGUAUCCACAGCUUUCCUUCAAUGAGAAGAUUAUGAACAUAAACUACACAUAAAAAAAUUAUUUAAACUGACAGCCCAUGAUAUAAAUCAAACAAAAUUAACUCCUUUUACAAAUCACAUCUCGUAUUCAGUUACAUUGAAACACAAAAAAGGAAGCAGGAGCCGGAGAAAAACAACAACAGAGAAACUUAUUUCCAGAAGGUUUACGAAAUAAGGAAUUUAUUAAGACACAAAAUUUGAGGUCAACAAUAAGAAUUUGGUUCUCAUUCUCUUUUUCUUCAUUUUUCACUUAUUGAUGGAGUUAGCGUACAAUCCUAUAUGAUAAAACCCCAUCUCCAUCUUUUUGAACUAGAGCUAAAGCAAAGCAUUUUAAGAUGUUUUUCCCUAAAAGACUCAAUAGUACAAUGCUUUUCAAUAUUAAAUACACAACUCAAUCUUCCCCUAAUUUACUCUAAUAAUCUCUUAACUAAGGAAGAUUAAGCUCCACUUGUAAGCUAAAACAAGUUUCUUAAAUCAAGCCCCAAUGCUCUAUACUAUUCAACAAGGCCUCAUAAAUGAUAAAACUACCUCUGCAAAGAUACCCAUUUUAAUUUCGCAAACUAAAAUCAAACUUCUGAAACGUAACGAGCAUUAAAACAAACAAGUCCGAACAAGAACUGAAAAAUGAUACGUAAACCCGUUUACACGUUUCGACAAACACUUUCCAAUCAAUGAGCAAAAAGGUUAAUGGAAAACAUGAAAUUCAAACAAAACAUACCUUAGGUUGAUAAAUUAGUAGGGCAAAAGAAAUUUUAGCGAGAUAUGGGAUCAGGGAUUUUGCCACGGUGAUGUUAAUUGCGACAUUCGGGUGACUCAGCAGCCUUCGAGGCUGAAACUUUGAUUGACCAAAAGGUUCCCGUUCGUUGAUUCUCUAAUUGCAGAAACGAAACUGGCAGUGUACAGAAAAAGUACGCUGAUUUGAUAAUUCUGUGAAAAUCAUUGUUUUUUUCAGAUUUUAAUGUGUUCGAUAAAAUAUCAAAAUCUCAAAAACUUUUGUCUUUCAUUUUGGGGGGAAAAACACACUGAGAUCCUUAUGUUUUUUCUUAUAUAAUCUGGCUUAAUAAUUUGCAAAGUCUAUUACUUUGCACCCAUGCAUGCUGCGUUACAAUUUACAAAAUUGUACGUGAGUGCAUCCAGCUAAAAUUUGUAAAAAGAAAAUAACAAUAACAUGUUAAAAAUGUGAUUAUUAUGAAGAAAUUUUAAUUUAGUUAAAUAGGUGACGAUGGAUAGGUAUAAAAUCUGAGAUCUUUUAUGAGAUUAAUAAAUAUGUUGAGUUUGGAUUAGUUCAAUUUUGACAUAAUACAGAAUAAACACAACCUGCUAAUCUAAGUUACCAUCUUUUCCCGUCAUCAGGUACCUGUUUGAAAAAUAAUUAUAUACAAUUUUAUUUGCGUUGUCUCUCUAAAAAUUUGGGACUCAAAUGUUAUUUCUAAUUGCUAAAAGUACGAAAAUGCCCCAUUUCUCUUCAGCUAAAGGAGUGCAAAGUCAUCUGUAUAAUUGAAGCUGCAUCAUCAGUUUCUAUUGCUGGUGUUUACUGCAUGCUUACAGUUGCUUGACAAAGUGAGCCAGUUUUUUGUUUAUUAAUUUUUUUUCUUGUCGAGAUAGUCACAAAGUAUUACUUGUUCUAUAUAAGAAUGAUGUGAAUCAAUUUUUCAAUUAUGCAUUCUGUGGUAAUUGUGAAUUUAGUUUCAUUUGUCUUGUCUCCUGCAAAUUUUGAAGAAAAUGCAGACAUACAAACUUACAAUACGGAAGAGUUCACAGGCAAAAACUUUGUGAAAGCUUCCAAGUGAAACAGGGAAUGCGCUUACUAGUAAAGAACAAAUUGGUGGCCAGCUAAUGCAUUCAUUCUAUGUCCAUUGAUCUUUUUGAGUUAUUGAAGACAAGUGGCUCACCGCUUUUAGUAUUGGUAAAAUUCAGAUAAUCUCUAUUCCGAAAUAAUAAUAUUCAAAAUAUCUCUUAAAUCAUUAUAAACCUCAAAUUUAUUUUAAUUUUAUUUAAAAGAUAAAAGAAAAAUAGGUUAUGUUGGUGAUUUUUUAUUAUCUUUUUAAUAAAAAUGAAAUAAAUUGAUGUUUAUAAUUAAUUAAAGUAUUUUAAAGAUUGCCAUUUUAUGAGAGAAUAAUAUUUCACUUUUUUUAGUGUGAAAGACCGAAAAAGGACAAAGCAAGUUUCCCUAAUUUUUAUUUUAUUCGAAAUUGGUCAUCUCAUAUACUUCACCCUUCAACAUUAUAAUUUUUUUGGUUAUAAUUUUAUUAUUUUUUUUUCUUUUACACAUGCAUGUGAAUUACUUUUCUUUAAGCUCCUGAAUAUUUAAGACAAAUCAUGGAAGAGAUGAGAGUAUAACAAGAUGAUCAAAAUAUGUAACAAAAAAAUUUUAGAAGUGAAAAAUAUGUUAGAGUCGAAGUAAAACUCUGAGGUGAUGUUUGAUUUGAAGAAAAUGGAGGAGAGGAAAUGAGUGGAAUGGAGAGGAAAAGAGAGAAAAGGAGAGGAGAGGAGAGUGAAAUUUUUUUCUAAUGUUUGGUUUGUCACAUAAUUAUACAAAGAAAAGAAAUCUCUAAUUUUUUAUUUAGACAAUUUUAACCUUAAUAAGUAUUAAGCUUUCAAUAUUUAUCAUGUGUAUAAUUUAAAAAAAGUAAAUGGUAGAAAGCGGUUUCUGAUUCCGGCCACAUCGCCGGCAAUGGAAGGUACUUAUCAGAACAUCAAGAGCCGACCAUCAUUCCCUAGCCAUCACUGCUGUCGGAACACUGCCAGAAAGCUGCCGAUUGAACCGCAAAAAGUCGUGGAAAUCGCUGCCUCAAAUCGGUGAGUUUCGCCUUUUUCUGGUCACGCCGUCACCUUGGCUUUGUCCAUCAAGGCUGCCACUUCCAUUUUCAACCAUCCAUAGCCACUAUUAACGGCCAAAUCGCCGCCGAUCAGCGGGAUAUGUGGAAGUUAAAAAGUUUCUAAAUUUUUUUUAACUGGAUUUGAACAACAUACGACCAUUUUUUGAUCUCGAUAACGACGUAGUAAUGUUGAUCAUUGGUCGGCAAGUCGAAUGGUAGUGGCGGUGAGUAACACGCGCCAAUGACAUCGGCGGCGGCACUAUCCGGCGACUGUUAAAAUUAAUAUUUUAUAUUUUUAGAUUAAAUAAAUUUAUUUUAUUAAACUUUUUAAAUCAUUAUUUAAAUUUAAUUAAUUUAAAAUUAUCUAUAAUGUUGAAUUGAUAAAAUAAAUUUAUAAAUAAUAAUUAUGUGAUUACAUUAAAUAAGUUAAAAAGUUGAAAGGUUAUUUUUGGAAGAUUUAGUUUCCAACACAAAGGGAAUUUGAAUUCUUCACUUCUUAGUGUGGAAUUCAAAUUCUAUAUUGUAAUGGAUAUUAAAUUCCAAUAGAAAUUAAAUUCUUAUAAGUUAUGUCAAACCAAACAACGGAAAUAAAAAAGGAAUUUAAAUUACUUUCCUUUCCUCCACCCUCUCCUUCCAACCAAAUACAUCCUGAAAAUAGAGAUAUUGAUUAAUUUAGAAGAGAUGCAAGCAAAAGAUAUUCCAAAAAAAAAAAGCAAUAUGUCCCUUUGGAGGGCAAACUUGUCAGUUUUAAAAAAGUACAUGCUUUGGAUUGAUAGUUGUAGGAUAUUUGUUUUGUCACUAUGUAUUAGUUGGAGAAGUCAAGCCUUGUGAAGAAUGUUAUGAAAGAGCAAAUGUUAGAGUACAAUUUAUGCACUAGUUUUGCAUUGUUUACUUCCAUUAAUAUCGAUGUUUUGCACUUAAUAAUAGUGAUUUACUUGUGUUUUACUUUUGUAGGUGCAAUUCUAUUGAUUGGUGAUAAAAUUGAGCUAUAAGAUGAUGUUUAAGGAUGAUUGUUCUCUUGGAGAAAUUUAGAACGUCAGAAGAACUUUGUUGAUAAGGCAUGGGCGCGUGCUGUCAACUGCGGACCUGCAGUUUUUAGUUUAACGUGUUUUGUAUUUUUGGUUAUUUUUGUAAUUACGAAUUUAAUAUUUCAGAUAUUAGUAUUUUAUUUUAAAUAGAAUUCUAAAAGAGAGGAGAGAGAGAGUAUUUAAGGGAGGAAUCUAUUGUGAAAAAUGGGGAUUUUGGAUUGGAGAAAGAAAGAAACCCUAGAUCUAAUUUUUCUCUUCUCUCUAUGAAGAACUAAACUUAUUUUUCUGGUUGAAGGUUAAUGAAGCUUUGAUUCAUCACUACUGUGAGAUCUUUCUUGUGCUUUAAUUGUUUUAUUGCUUUUUGGGUAUUUGUUUAUUCUCUGAAUUAUUUUCAUGAUUAUGUUUGUUAAUUAGAUAAUUGGCCACUAUUUAAUUAUCAACUUAAUCUAUUGUCAAUUAAAGGAUUCAUCGUAUGAAGAAUUUAAUGUUUGUGACAAAUAACAUAGCAGAGAGUUGUGUUGUGAGAAUAAACAAUCUAAUUUAAAUGAAUCAUCAUAUGUGUUGAUUAGGAUUUGGGUCUCUCUGGUUUUUCAGGCUGACAUUGAUUAAAUCCUAUGAUCGUAUCUAGGGUUGUCUAUUGAUUAGGGAAAUAACCAACGGUCGUACCUUGGUUAUCGACUAGUUAAGGAGAGAUUGGCUAUUAGAGGUUCUCAAUAGUUAUAACCGAUCUAUUCAUAAGUAAUAAUAAUCUAUAUUUGAAUCAAUGAUCAGUAGUCGAAUCAAGCUGAGUUAAUUCCUUCAACCAGAGCUUUCUCCAAUUUGAAUUACAACUUUAAUUUGCAUUCUUGUUAUUUUGAUUUGAUUUUUAUUAUUGUCAACAAUUCCCUCAUUUUACGUUUUACGUUUCAAAAGGAUUUAAAUAAUUACCGAUCUCUGUGGACACGACCCUGCUCAAUCACUAUACACAAUUUAUUUAGAGUAUGAAUUUAUUUUUAUUGGCUUCGACACCCAUCAGCAAAGGAUAUUCCUGAUAGCUGAUAGAGCUCUAUUUGAUUAUGUAUCCAAUGAAUGGAUGUGUUGUUGGAAGAUAUCUGAGUGCAUUAGUUCAUAUGUGUCUGUCAAUGUGCUUUUAAUGAUUUUUCCACUUGUUUGUUGUAAAAGAUUAUUGUAAAUUGAAAUGAGCUUGAUGUUGUAAUAUUUUUUCCUUAGUGGAAUUUCACCUAGUAUGUAUUCAGUUGUGUUCUCUAUAAUUUUGCAUUCGAAUAAGUUUCACCUAAAAUAUUAGCAUGAGUAGUGGCCUUUGAAACUUUGGUCAAAAUUAUUGUUAUUAUUUCCGACUAGAUGUAAAUUUUUUAUUAAAUCUCGUUAACACAAUUCUUAAUUAAAAGUAUAGGUUAGUGUUGGUGCAAGAUUUGCCACACCAAAUUCUGCCUAGCUGUCAAAAGUGCAAAAUAAAUGAAGAGAAAGCACAAAUACACGACUUGAAUAAGGAUACAACGAAACUUAAUUUCAAGAGAAAAUGAUAGCUAUAUCUCAAGAUUUGAAAAAAUGGUCAUGUAGAUUUUUAAGAUUUCAAUAAGCGACUGAGAUUCAAAUAAUAUCCUUUAAUUCUAUUAACAAAAAACAAAGACUCAAAUAUUUUAUGAUAAAGAAAAAUAUAAUAUUAAAAUAUAUGUGAUAAUAUACACAUUUUAAAUACUUUUAAUCCAAAAAAAUAGUUAUGUUUUACAAUCUAUUAGACAUAUUUUAUUAAAUUAAUAUAAAUUUUCUAUAAAAUAAUAAUAUAAUAUUAAAAUAAAUUCACAAAAAUUUAAAGAAUUUUGAAUGUAAAAUAAUUUUAAUAUAUUAAUACGUGAGUUUUUUAUUAAUAUAAAAAUUAUUUAACUUUAAGAUUUUUUAAAAUCUUUACAAUAAGUAUAACUAUAUUAUUUACAUUUAAAAAUAUUUAAAUAUUAUUAACCUACAAUUAUAUUUGCAUUUGUUAGAAAUUUUUUAAGUCAAAUAUUUUGCACUUCUAUAUUAUUAGAAUUAUUGCACACAAAGAAAGAAACAUAUACCUUUAGAAAUUGUUUUCUUUUAAAAUAGAGAUGAUGAUUAGUAUAAGGAUGAAAAAAAGGAUAUUAACGAAAUCUCUAUACAAAUUGAUUUUAGUAGGAAAAAAAUGAGUUAAAUGAUUUAGAGUGCGUUUGGAAUUGAGAUUGGGCAGUCAUAGAUUUUAAGUUACAACACUGAAGUGUUUGGUAAAUACUAGCUACUGCAGAUUGAAAGUUAUGUUGAUAUGAUUUUUCACAUGUAUCAUAGAAAAUAUAUUACAUCUUUAAUAAUUUUUUUAAAAUUUAUAUUUGCUAUAUAUUAUUAUUAUUUUUUUUUAUAGUUAUAACUUUUUUUCCAUAGCAGCUGUAGCUUAAAAGCCACAGCACCUCAAUCUCAAACAAGUCCUUAGACAUUCAUAGUGUGUUUAUUUUUUGGAUUGGUGAAUCAAAAUUAUUGACAACGCUAACUUCAUCUUCACCGUUCGCAAUCCAACAGCAGCAAUUGUCACCAAUAAUGAUAUCUCCAAUGAUGAUGACAAUUAUUAUUAUUAUUAUUAUUAAUUAAUUAAUUAAUUAAUUAAUUAAUUAAUAUAUUAAUGUUAAUAUUAUUAUUGUUAAGAUUAACAAUAAUUAUUAGUAAUACAAUUUUUUGAAUAAAAAUAAUCACAAUAAUUAAAAUACAAAUUAAUAAUUAUGACAAUAGUUAAUUAAUUUCUUUUUAGUAAUUUGUAACAAUCUAACUCAUUUUAAUUCUGAUUAUUACAGCUUAAGUAAACAAAUUAUUAUGAUUCCUAUUCUCCUUUCCCAUUUUAGCUCACUUCGAUUCCAGUCUAUUCCGAUUUCUAUCUAAUAAAUGCACCAUUAGUGCUAAAGUAAUAUUUCAUACAUAGAAAAGUAAAAACUACACCUAAGGUUAAGGGAAAGGACUUCAAAACUCUCUUUUGAUCAUAAUACAUUUUGUCCUAAUUAACUUAAAGAUUUUGAAUCUAAUAUUUUAUAAUAAAUAAAAAUAUAUUCCUAAAAUAAAUAUAAUAUCAAUAUUUAAAAUAUGUUUUAAUAUUUUACAAUCUAUCAUACACAUUUUAUUAUAUUAAAGUAGAUUUAUAAUAAAUAUAUAAAAAAUUUAGAAUAUUUAGAAUAUUAUAUAAAAUAAUUUUAAUAUAAUGCGUGAGAUAUAUUUUAUUAAUUUAAAAUGUCAUUUUACCUAAAAAAUAUGAUAAAUUAAUAAUUACAUAUUUGAAGUUAUUUCAAAUAUUAAAAAAAUUUAAUAUUAUUAAUCUUUUAGAUAGAUUAAAUUAUUUUUCAUAAGAGAGAUUAAUCUUUUACUAAAAUUUCUCUUCCACAGCCCACCGCAGCUUCAGUUAAUCAAACUCCAUCAAUUUUCUUUCUUAACAAAAUUCUAAAGAUGUGUAGCAUUUUUCAGAUCACAUGCGAUGGUGCUUUUUUCAAUCGUUGCUUGGAUUGCUUUCUUGGAAAAGCAGCAUACAUACGUAACCUCCAAGAUAAUCUUGAUGCCUUGGAGACUGAAUUGGGAAAUCUGAUCGCUAGAAAGAACGAUGUGAUGAGGAGGGUUGUCGAUGCUGAACGGCAACAAAUGAGAAGGCUGGACGGAGUGCAAGUGUGGGCUUCGAGGGUGGAUUCUGUUAAAACUGAAGCUGAUCAAUUUAUAAGAGACGGCUCUCGAGAAAUUGAAAAAUUAUGUGUUGGAGGCUACUGUUCCAAGAAUUGCAUGUCAAGCUACAAGUUCGGGAAAAAAGUGGCUAAAAAGCUACGGGAUGUGCGGUCUUUAAUCAGUGAAGGAGUUUUUGAAGUGGUGGCUGACAGAGCUCCAGAGUCUGUAGCAGAUGAAAGACCUACUGAGCGAACAGUAGUAGGCUUGCAAUCACAACUUGAACAAGUCUGGAGAUGUCUUGUAGAAGAAUCAGCGGGAAUCAUUGGCCUAUAUGGUAUGGGCGGUGUUGGUAAAACUACACUACUGACCCAUAUCAACAAUAAAUUUCUCGAGAGUCCAACCAACUUUGAUUGUGUGAUUUGGGUUGUAGUUUCAAAAGACCUGCGACUCGAAAAAAUUCAAGAAGAUAUUGGGAAAAAGAUAGGUUUGGUUGGUGAUUCAUGGAAGAGUAAAAGUGUAGAGGAGAAAGCUGUCGACAUCUUCCGGAGUUUAAGAGAGAAGAGAUUUGUAUUGUUGUUAGAUGAUAUAUGGGAGCGGGUUGAUUUAACAAAGGUGGGCAUUCCACUUCCCGGACCAAAAAAUACUACCUCAAAAGUCGUAUUCACAACCCGUUUCAUCGAUGUUUGUGGUAGCAUGGAAGUUGACAGGAAGUUUCAAGUAGCAUGCUUAUCAGAAAAGGAUGCUUGGGAACUGUUUCGAGAAAAAGUUGGGGAAGAAACUCUUCAGAGUCAUCAUGAUAUCGAUGAGCUAGCCCAAAUUGUGGUCAAAGAGUGUGGUGGUUUGCCACUCGCACUUAUUACUAUUGGUCGAGCUAUGGCCUACAGAAAGAAAGCGGAGCAGUGGAGACGUGCAAUUGAAGAGUUAAGGAGAUCAGCUUCAGAGUUUGCAGGUUUGGGAAAAGAGGUGUAUCCUCUUUUAAAAUUCAGCUAUGAUAGUUUGCAGAAUGAUACGGUUAGAUCUUGUUUCUUGUACUGUUGUUUAUAUCCUGAAGAUUAUGGCAUUCUUAAAUGGGACUUGAUUGAUUGUUGGUUUGGCGAGGGAUUUUUUGGGGAAUCUGACAGGUCUGGUGCAGAAAACCAAGGAUAUGACAUUUUGGAAACUCUUGUUCGUGCAUGUUUAUUAGAAGAGGUGGAAGAUGAUGAAGUAAAAAUGCAUGACGUUAUUCGUGAUAUGGCUAUAUGGAUAACUUGUGAAAUUGAGAAGGAGAAGAGAAACUUUUUGGUUCGUGCAGGUGCUGGAUUAAAAGAGGCACCGGGUGUUAAAGGAUGGGAAAAUGUGAGAAGAUUGUCAUUGAUGCAAAACCAAAUUGAAACUCUGGCAGAGGUUCCCACAUGCCCUCAUCUCCUCACUUUAUUUUUUGACUUUAAUAAGGAGUUAAAGAUGAUCGCGGAUGGCUUCUUCCAAUUUACGCCUUCUCUCAAAGUUUUGAAGAUGUCAAACUGUUUGAAUUUGAAAUUACCUAUUGGGAUGUCAGAGUUGGGUUCAUCACUAGAACUUCUCGAUAUUUCAUAUACCGGCAUAAGAGAGUAACCGGAAGAGUUAAAGUUGUUGGUAAAUCUGAAAUGUUUGAAUUUGAGGUGGACAAUUUGGUUAAAUAAAAUUCCACGGCAACUAAUAUCAAAUUAUUCAAGGUUACGUGUGUUGAGAAUGUUCGCUACUGGCUUGGGCAUUUUUCAUGAAGCACCAGAAGACAGCGUUUUAUUUGGUGGGGGUGAAGUUUUAGUACAGGAAUUGCUCGGUUUGAAAUAUUUAGAGGUAUUGGAGUUGACCUUGGGAAGUUAUCAUGCUCUCCAAAUUCUUUUGAGCUCAAAUAAGUUAAAAAGUUGUAUUCGAUCUCUUUACCUCGAGUUGACCGGAGAUACAGCGUCAAUUAUUGAUGCUACGGCUUUCGCAGAUCUAAACCACCUCAAUGAAUUAUAUAUUUUUAAAGGUAUUGAGUUGGAAGAAUUGAAGAUUGAUUAUACGGAGAUAGUACGAAAAAGGCGGGAACCUUUUGUUUUCCGCAGCCUUCACUGUGUUAUUAUGGUUUCGUGCCGUAAAUUGAAAGAUGUGACAUUCCUCGUUUUUGCUCCAAACCUCAAGUCUCUUUUGGUAGACGGUUGCGAUGCUAUGGAAGAAAUAAUCAGCGUCGGAAAAUUUGCUGAGACUCCUGAGAUGAUGGGACAUAUAAGCCCUUUUGAAAAUCUCCAAAUGCUUGAUUUAACGGCAUUGCCGGAGUUGAAGAGCAUCUACUGGAAGCCAUUGCCUUUCACUCAUCUGAAAGAAAUGGAGGUACUUAGGUGCGAUCGGCUUGAAAAGCUUCCACUCGAUUCCAACAGUUCAAAGGAGCGUAAAUUUGUUAUUUGUGGAUACACAAAGUGGUGGAACCGACUUCAAUGGGAGGAUGAAGCCACUCAAAUUGCUUUUCGUUCCUGUUUCCAACCAAUGGGAGUACUGAGCGGUGGUCGCAAAAUUUGAUUUCUGGUGAGUGCGUUUUUGUUAACGCUUAUGUUUUUAUUCCAGUGUGUUUUUCUUCUGUCUUCUGCAAAUCAAUGCUUUAUAAAUUUUCCUUUUCCCUUUUUUUUUGGGGGGGGGGGGGGGGGCGUGGGUCGAAUUGAUGCUCUGGUUUUUUACUUUUUGUUGUCAAAUUUGGCCUUUUUUUUUUUUUUUUUUUUUUACAAGUUGAUACUUUAUUUAUAUCUUCUUAGCGAUUUAAUUUCCUGUCAAAAGACGAGCGAGAAGAACAUAUGACUUAAAGCAAUUGAUACUUUAUUUAUGUGCAUUGUAUGUAAUAAAUAUUAAGUAUACUUUAUUUUGCCCUGUUCUCUGUUUUUAUUUCAGUCUCUCUCUCGCUCUCUCUCUUUCCUGUCUUCUGCAAGUCAUAAUUAAAUGUUGAAUUAUAUGGAAUUAAUGCUUUAUAAAUCUGCCUGCGCUGGCUUUUUUUUUUUUUUUUGUGGGGUCGAAUUGAUGCUCUGGUUUUCGACUACUUUUUGUUGUCAAAAUUUUCUCUGUUUUUUCAAAUUUAUAUCUUAUUCGUGAAAAGUGAUUUAAUUUCCUGCCAAAAGACGAACGAGAAGAACAUUAGAGUCAAACUAAUGCUCACAUAAAUUUCCCGUAAGAAUAUAUAAUUAGACUGGAAUGCACACCUCUAGAUUGAACAGAAUUAAAGCUGAGAAAAUAUUGAGUAUAGUAGCCCUCUUUACAGAAAAUGACGCGAAAGUUAAUUUAGAAAGAUAUAUUCUCGAUUAAUCCAUUUUCUGAAUUUUUUUUUUAUUUUGUAUGGUCAAUUUUUUUUUUAAAUUACAACCUCAUAGUCAUGCUAUUCAUUCACUCACAGACCAAAGGCUUUCCGCAGCAAUAUUAUUAUUUAAAUUACAACAAAGGGGGAAUCAAAUACGUCAUACAGAAGCUUAAAGCUGAAUCUACAAGAUCUAGAGCUCUCAAGAUGAAGCUUGUUCAAUAUCUCAUCCAAAGCUUGUAAAGUAACCUUGUAACGAUCUUGAGAUUGCCUGCCUUCCUCGACGACCUGCACGAUGCGUUUGUACAAAUCAUCAUACUUGUGCACUGGAUUUUUAAUAUCAACGCCACUGCAGCUGUGAUCAAGAACAUGAGAGCGUUUAACAUCUUUUCUCCAUCAAGAAAGAACGUAGUGAGAUGGGAUCUCCUGCAUGCCACUCUGGUUUAGAACACAAAGAAUGUGUCUGCAUAAAUAUCCUCUGAAAUUGAACAACCCACAAACACAAAGCAUCUCCAAGUCAGAGGCAUUGUACAAAACAUCGAAAGCCCUUGAAUCUUUCUCGUUGCUACCAACCUCAAAUUCUUCCUUCACUAUGUAUGUUAUAGGUCCAUCAGCACUGACAUGUUUUGUGCUAUAGCAAAGAGUACAUAGCCUCCACCUCCAUCUGAAACUUCCUUAACAUUUCAUUUGUGUACAGUUUUGAGAGUUGAAAUUCAUAGUAACAUAUUGGUUUCUGGAUACAACUUGAAUUUCUUGAAUCCAUAUCUGCCAAGGCUUGCAGUUGAUAAUUGGCCCGCAGUGCUUGAUCAUACUUGUCUAAGAAUUCUUUCAAAGGAGUAUUCUUAUCAAGAUAUCCUUCAAAGUAUGAAGUAGAAACCUCAUUCUGCAGUAACGAAAACACUCCUGAUAAAAAAGCUUCCUUCAAAUAAAUAGGAGCCCACCUUUUACGAUCUUCAUAUAAAGUUUGAAUCCAUCCGUGAUCCUUUAUUCCAUGACGUUGAAUCAUGUCUUCCCAAGCUGCUUCAAAUUUCUCAGGCCUGAGAGAGUGAUAAAUUGCUCUAUGUAAUGCAGCUUUAAUAGCUUCAUAUUCAAACAAUCCUUGGAGUUUCUCUGGAAUUUUUUGCAUGACGCUUUCCUUCAAUGAUAAGACAAUGAACAUAAACGAGACACAAAAAAAAUUAUUUUAAACUGACAGCCCAUGAUAUAAAUCAAACAAAAUCAACUCCUUUUUUUACACAUCACAUCUCAUAUUCAUUUGCAUUGAAGCACAAAAAGGAAGCAGGAGUGGGAAAAAAAAAACAACAGCAGAGGAACUUAUUUCCAUAAGGUUUAGGAAAUAAGGAAUUUAUUAAGACACAAAAUUUGAGGUUACCAAUAAGAAUUUGGUUCUCAUUAUUUUUUUCUUCAUUUUUCACCAAUUGAUGAACUUAAAAUACAAUCAUCAAUGAUAAAACCCCAUCUCCAUCUUUUUGAACUAGAGCUAAAGCAAAGCAUUUUAAGAUGUUUCAUCAUUUUUUUUAAUAAAAAAAAACCUCAAUAGUACAAUGUUUUUCAAUGUUAAAUGCACAACUCAAUCCUCUCCUAAUUUACUCUAAUAAUCUCUUAAUUAAGGAAGAUUAAGCUUCAGUUGUAAGCUAAAACAAAUUUCUUAAAUCAAGCCCCAAUGCUUUAUGCUAUUCAACAAGGGCUCAUAAAUGAUAAAACUACUUCUACAAAGAUACCCAUUUUCUAAAUUAAUUUCAAAAACUGAAAUCAAACUCCUGAAACGUAACGAGCAUUAAUAUAAUCAAACCCGAACAGGAAUUGAAAAAUGACACAUAAACUCGUUUACACAUUUCGACAGACACUUUGCAAUCAAUGAGCAAAAAAUUAAUGGAGAAGAUAAAAUUCAAACGAAACAUGCCUUACAUUGAUAAAUUAGAAGGGCAAAAGAAAUUUUAGUACGAUAUGGGAUCAGGGUCUUGCCACGGUGAUGUUAUUUGUGAUGUUCGAGCGACUCAGCAGCCUUCGAGGUUGAAAAUUUGAUUGACCGAAAGCUUCCCGUUCGUUGAUUCUCUAAUAGCAGAAACGAGACUGGCAGUAUACACAAGAAGUUCGCUGAUUUUAAAUUCCGUUGUUUGAGAUGGAAAUUUUUUUGAAAAAAUUAAUGUGUUCGAUGAAUAUCAAAAUCUCAAAAACUUUUUGUUUCUCAUAGCACCCAUGCAUGAUGUGUUGUUUCUCUAAAAGUUUGAGACACAAAUGUUAUUUCAAAUUGAAACGCCAUGCACUAGUAGUAGACUAGUAGGUAGGAGAAACCAAGGUUGAAGUUACUGUUCAUUUAUUUUUAUUUAUGAUUUUUUGUAAAAUGUAAGAAAUAUGUAGAAAUGUUGCCAGCAAUGAUUUUGGAACUUUGCAUAAAAUUUUUAUCAUUAUUGUUUUUGGUAUUAAGAAAUCCGAGGCGGUGAUUAGACGUAUGUUGCAACAAUUAAGAAAUUUCUUAUUGGAGAUAAUUUGGUAGGUUGCAACAAUUAGAGAAUCAUUUUCCUGUCAGUUAAUCAAUCAAUAAUAAAUUUCAAAUUGCAGAAAAUAAAAUAAUACUGUCACACUUAGAAUCAUCUUUUCUAUCUCUUUCAAUUGUGGCAAUCAUUUGUAACAAAUAAAUCAAUUUGAUGCACAUCAUUUCCCCAAUUCAAAGUUCAAGUCACUGCUCAAUUGCAGAGUAGUUAGUAGACAUGCAUGCAUGUUUAAUUAAGUACUGCAUUGUAGUAUCGAAAAUCAUAAUAUCUCACCAAGCCCGGAAGCAUAGCUCUUUAUCUUGUAAACGUUGAAAUCUUAUGCAAACUAUGGGAAACAUGAUCUCACUCUCAGUGUCACUUGAUUCCAUUUUCUGUUCUUGCCUUGAUUUCGAUGUUGGGAAUGUGACGUCUGAGUCCAAGGUUGAAGAUAAUCUCGAUGCCUUGCGGACUGCAAUGGAAAAAUAAGCGGAAACGAGAAAUGAUGUGAUAAGAAGAGUUACUGUUGCUGAAGGACAACAUCAAAUGCAACGAAUGGAUCGAGUGCAGGGCUGGCUUUCAAGGGUAAAAGCUGUGGAAAAUAAAGCUGAUGAUUUGAUGAGACACAGCUCUCAAGAGAUUGAGAAGUUAUGCCUUGGAGGCUUCUGUUCCAAGAACUGCAAAUGAAGCCACAGCCGUGGGAUAGAAGCUGCUACAAUGCUACGAGUUGUGGAGACUUUAAUGGGUGAAGGAUCAUUUGAAUUGGUGGCUGAGAGGGUGCCAGAAGAUGCAGCAGACUGAGCAGAGGAGAUAAAUUGUGAGUCAACAAUAAUGGGCAUGGUGUCGACUUUUGAGAAAGCCUGGAGAUGCCUUGAAGAAGAAUCAGUUGGAAUUAUUGGCCUAUAUGUCAAUGGGAGAGUUGGAAAUAUUUACUCAAAUCAACAACAAGUUCCUUGAUAGUCCAAAUAAUUUUGAUGUUGCAAUCUGGGUAGUGGUCUGCCAAGAUUUGCAACCCCAGAAGUUUCGGGAAAAGAUUGGGAAAAAGAAAGGCUUGUUCGAUGAGUCAUGGAAGAACUGAAGUUUUGAAGAGAAAGCACUCGAUAUAUUCAAGAAUUUAAGCAAGAUGAAGUUUGUAUUACUGCUGGAUGAUAUAUGGGAGCAGGUUGAUUUAAUUAAAAUUGGUGUCCCUCUUCCAAGCACAAAAAUUACAUUCAAGAUAGUCUUCACAACUCCUUCUAUUACAUUUGUGGCCUCAUGGAAGCUCACAACAAGAUUAAAGUGAAGUGUUUAAAUGACGAAGAAGCAUGGGAAUUAUUCUGCAAGAAGGUUGGAGAAGAUGUGGCGACUCUGUACAAGUGCUAAGGAGCUCAGCCUCAGAAUUUCUAGGUAUGUAAAAACAAGUAUAUCCUCUUUUGAAAUUCAGUUAUGAUAAUUUACCUAGCGAUAAAAUUAGAUCGAGUCUGUUAUACUGUAGUUUGUUCCCAGAAGACUUUCCAAUUAGCAAAAUGGAAUUGAUACUGAGAUACGAAAUCAAGGAUACUACAUUAUUGGUGUUCUUGUUCCUUUAUGUUUAUUGGAAGAAGAGGCUCCACUGUUUGUAAAAGUGCAUGAGGUGAUACGCGAUAUGCUUCUGUGGAUAGCAUGUGAAAUUUUAUUUUUAUUUUUUUAUAGGGAUAUCAUGUGAAGUUGAGAAGGAGAGAGAGAAUUUUUUGGUUCGUGCAGGUGCAAGGAUUAACUGAAGUACUAGACAUUUGGAAAUGGGAAGGGUUGAGAAGGGUGUCUUUGAUGAUCAACAAAACUGAGAAGGUAUCAGAAAUUCCUUCAUCUCACGAUCCACUAACUUUGUUGCUUCAACAUAAUUAUUUAGAGGUGAUCAAUAAUGACUUCUUCCAAUCUAUGCAUUCCCUUAGAGUUUUGAACUUAUCAUGUAAUCAUUCUCUAACUGAUCAUUUCAAAGUUAGUUUCCCUACAUACGAGAGUUGCCGAAUGAGUUAACGUUCGUAGUGAAUCUUAAGUUUUUGAAUGUGGAGUCUGCACGGUUUCUUCAUUCAAUUCCAGGGCAAGUGAUAUCCAGUUUUACGAUGUUACAAGUUUUGAAGAUGUUUGGUUGUGGCAGGUCAUCUUCUGAUCGUGAGCCACACCAGAAGAUAGCGUUUUAUUUGGAGGCAGUGAACUUUUGAUUGCGGAGUUGUUUGGUUUGAGAGACAUUUAGAUGUGUUGACCAUCAUCCUAAGAAGCUCCCAUGCUCUGAAAAGAUUUUUGAGCUCCAACAAACUUCAAAGUUGUACUCAAUCUCUCUAUCCUAAAUGCUUUGAUUCGAAGUCAGUUGAUGUUUUUUGCCUGGCUGAUCUGAAGCAUCUCAAUAGGCUAUAGAUAUUGCGAGUUGUAAGCUUUUGGAAGAAGUGAAGAUUGACUUUGUUGGGAAAGCACAAAUGAACUCAUGGUUUUCACAGCCUUAUGUCACGGAAGUUGUGUAAACACUGCACGGGUUGCUGCGCAAAGUAACCAUCCUAUGACAUUGAGCCAUGUUGAAAUAUCAUUUUGCUGUAAACUGAGGGAUUUGACAUAGCUUGCUUUUGCUCCAGACCUUCUUGUUGUUUCCAGAAAGCAUUGCCAUGAUAUAGAGGAAAUACUCGGUGUUGGAAAAUUAGGUAAAGAGAUGAUGUCAAACCUGGAACCCCCUAUAAAACUCCUAAGGUUAUGUCUGGCAUGUAGGAUUGGAUUGAACUAAAUUAUUAGGACUGGAUUAAAUUGGGUUAUAUUUAUAUUCUUAUGUUUGGUACAGUACUGGAUUGAACUAUAUUAGAUUAUAUUUAAAUAAUAUUAAAUAGUAUUUAAGUUGGUAUUUUAAUAUAAAUAUCAAUUAUCCAUGAAAUUUUAUAAUCAUAAUUAAAAUAAAUUUAAAAAGCAAUUACUAGAAAAAUUAAAUAUAUUACAAAAAGUUAUUGGGUAGUCAUAAUAUAAUAAGCAAAUAAAAUUAAAUAAAACAAAUUAAAUAUUUAAUUAAUUUUUAUCAAAUAUUUAAAAAUAUUAUAUAAAAUCAAUUAAUUAAUGGUUUUAUUAAUUUUCAUGAUUAUUUUUAAUAUUACAUUAGUAAUUAUUAAAUUUAAUACAAUCAAAUAAUGCAAUAAAUAAUUAAACGUUUAAUUUUAUCGAUUAAUUAUUAAAUAUACAAGUAAUGAAAAUUUAAUCUCAGGAGUUGGCAGAAGCAAAAGUACUAAUUUAAUUAGAUCAUAGAUAAUAAAUAAAAAUUAAUUUUAAGUAAAUCAUAAUAAAAAAAUUAAUUAAUUGAUUCAAUCAAUCAAUAUUAGGUGUAAAUAAAAAAAGAGUAAUGAUAUAGCCACAAAUUCUUGUACAAACUUAUUUUGUACAAACUCAUGUGUCAUGAUAAGAUUAGUUGAAUUAAAUAUCACUUGGCCCACAUGAUUUGUUUUUAUUAUUUUAUAUUUUUAUUCAACCAAUGAAUUAACGCCACGUCAGUUUGUACAAGAGUUUGUGGUUGUAUCAUCACUCAUAAAAAAAAAGAUACAAAUAAAAAUCUCAUAAAUGGACAACUUUUAUCUUUAAUCUUAUCCCAACUAAACACAUGUGUGAAUUAAGAUUAUUAAUCCCAUGAUUUUAGGAUUAAAUUCAAAUUAAUUCCCCCUUAAUCCAAUCCAACUAAACUUGUCAAACAUGGGAUAAAAGUUUAAUUCUAAAAUUAGUCCAAUUCCAUACUUAAUCCUAGCAUCCACAUAUAGCCCAAGUUGUUUGCUUAAAGAAGCUACCAAAUUUGAAGAGCGUUUACGGGAAGGCCUUGCGUUUCCCAGAUGUAUGCAGAAUUUUUGUAUCCAAAUGCCCAGAACUUAAGAAGCUGACGCUGGAUUUUGAAAGGGCGGGCCAAGGUAAAAUUCUUAUCAAGUGAAAGGAAAAUCGGUGGAAACAACUUCAAUGGAAGGAUCAAGCAACUCAGGAUGCAUUGCUUCUGUUUUUCAAAUCAACUGACAAGUGAUUGAAGGGGGCAUCAUCAGCCUGGAUGGGGAGAUCCUGGAGCAGAUCAGCAGGGUUUGAAUCUGCAUCAUCAACAUCAUCAGGAUCUCUAUUUCUAUUGCUGGUCGUAAUGCCUGCCUACUGUUACUUGAAAAAGUGAUUAAGUGAGCCAGUUUUUUGUUUAUUAAAUUUUGUCUUGUAGAGACAGUCACAAAGUAUUUUUCUUAGUUGUUCUAUAUGAGAGUGAUGUGAAUCAAUUUUUCAAUUAUAUAUUCUGUGGGAAAUUGCAAGUAUUUUUAAAAUAUGAUCGUUAUUAAAGGAAACAAAGGAAUCAACACAGCAUACUGAACCUCAGCAGUAUGAAGCUAAUGAUUAAACUCCUCACACAAUUCAUAACAUGCAAAACCAUUCACAAAAUCAUCCCCAGCAACCAUAAUUGGCGUCCAAUAGAAAUUUACAAGAAUUACUUUUCUGUUCAUGCAAUCGGCGUCCGAAUGCGGCUGAUCGGUCACCGGUGUUGGCGUUUACUGUGAUUAGACAAAUUGUAGGAAUUCAAAAAUAACUUCUAUAGGGGUAAUUUCGAUUUCACAUAAUUAAUUUUAUUUACAAUAUUUUAUUCCUGCUAGAUCAAUUGAGAUUCUUUCCACCGGGCACACCCUUCAUGUUCUUUUAUUUUCUGUCUUUUAUUAGCCGUAGGAUUUUACUACUCUUAUAUCCAACGGCUUGCCACAACAAGACAAAUGAGGUGGUACCUUCCAACCGCUGAAAGGUCGUUUUGGCCCCAGGUGAAAGAGGGAAAUAGGGAAUUGAUGCUAUAUUUUAUAUUUUCUAUUUUACUACUCUUGUAUCCACCGGCCUUUCUUAUAUUUUAUUGCAAAUUGAUGCUAACAAGAAAAAGCUACAUCAUAUUCCACAAAAAACAAAAGUGACAAAACAACCAGUUGGAUUCUUUUAUUAAACUACAAAUUAAAUGGACUUUUUUUUAAUAAACUAUAUAUGAAAGUAGAAUCUUUUGAAUAUAAGUGGGGUAGACUUCCUUUCCAAAACAAAAAAUGCGGGGUAGGCUCUUUUAUUAAAGACAAGUCACAAGACGAUUAGAGUCUUUUAUUAAACUGCAAAUUGUAUAGUCUUUUUCAAAUUGUACAGACAUUUAUAAAUUGGUGGCCCCUUGGAAAUUUAAUGCCAAGCAGAGAAAAGUCAUCAUGCACAAUCCUCAAUAAUUGUUUCGAUAUUUAUAAAUUGGUGGCCCCAACGAAUAAUUGGGAUCGGUUAUGGUGCAAUUAUAGAACCAUGGCACAGUUGCAUCCAGCCGUUAAAUGCACUUAGAUUGGUGAGGUUUAUUGGCAUCUAAUGGCUGAAUGUAACUAUAAUACGGUACUACAGUUACAACACAAGUUUCCACCAAUAAUUGUUCCGAUAAUUAUAAAUUGGUGGCCCCUUGAUAAUUUAACAGCAGCCUGCAAGUGCCAACCAGUGAAAAGUCAUCAUUCACAAUCUUCCAAGUGAAAUAGGAGAUAUACAAAAUAAUAAAAAAAAAACAUGUCAAUUCUUUUUUUUUUUAUUCAUUCCCUUUCAUGUUCUUGAUAAGGGAGGGAGGACGUGACAUGUAAUGUAACUUACACCCAAAUACAUAAAUAAUAUAAAAUGAAUGGAUAGAUGCCCGAGCAGAUCGGCAGGGUUCGAAUAUGACCUUUGGUGCUUGCUUUUUUUUUUUGUGAUUUUGUUUUUCAUUUUUUCCUUCCUGUCAUUUUAUCAUUUCUUUGGCUUUGUCUCUAUUGCGGGUGUUACUGCAUGCUUACUGUUGCUUGACAAAGUUUGCUAGCUGAAAGAAACUUAGUUCUAUAUUGUUUGGUAGGCUAGAAAAUGAAAGGAAAUAAAAGAAAAGCUUUGCAAAGAAAUCUGUUGGAUCUUUUAUUAUUCCAAACUUACAGUUUAAUGACUACUAAUUGAUAUUUAUAUUGAGCUACAAUCUCUUAACAUACACACGAGAUUGUUGCAACACAUAACCAUUUGCUGUAUAACUAACUUGACACAUCAGCUCAACCAGCUAACUAACUUUGACAGGUCAGCUUAAUGAUUUGAUCUGCUACAACCAGCUACACAACACAUCAUGCUCUGCUCCAGCUACACAGCAACAUCAUGCUCUGCUCCAGCUUCAUCUAAUUCACUAACAUCCCCCUUCAAGCUGAAAUGUUUAGGAUGAACAUUCAGCUUGCUGCGGAAGUAACUAAAUUGUUUGAAAGUAAGAGCUUUAGUCAACACAUCUGCAGUUUGAUCUUGACUAGGCACAUAACAGACUGCAACUUCUUUAGCAGUAACUUUAUCUCGGAUGAAAUGGAUAUCCAAUUCAACAUGCUUAGUUUUAGCAUGAUAGACUGGAUUAUAAGCUAAAGCAAUGGCUCCUUGAUUAUCACACCACAUCAUAGGAGUAGAGCUCAAUUUGAUGCUAAGUUCACCAAGUAAAGACUUGAUCCAGGUAACCUCUGAAGCAGCAUGAGCAAGAGAUCUAUACUCAGCCUCUGUGCUGAAUCUGGAAACAACAGCUUGCUUCUUGGACGACCAAGAGACAAGAUUAGGACCUAGAUAAACAGCAAAGCCAGCUACUGACUUCCUAUCAUCAUGAUCACAAGCCCAAUCAGAGUCUGAAAAACAAUGGAGUUGCAGAGCUCCUUGGUUGUAGAAUUGCAGCCUAAGAUGGAUAGUACCUUUUAAGUACCUCAAUAACCUUUUACAUGCUUCCCAAUGUUGAGUCCUAGGAUUGGAAAGGAACUGACUCAACUUAUUGACAUAAAAAGCAAUGUCAGGUCUGGUAAGAGUAACAUACUGAAGAGCUCCUAUAACACUUCUGUAUUGAGAAACAUUGUCAAUUGGCUCCCAUGAGUCUUUGGUGAGAUAAUAACCUGUAGACAUUGGAGUUGGCACAGGACUGCAAUCAAUCAUGCCAUGUUUGUCCAGAACAUCAGCAAUAUACUUUGCUUGUGUCAAGGAAACCCCUUUUGAAGACUUGCUGACUUCAAUCCCCAAAAAAUAGUGAAGUUCCCCUAAAUCCUUUAAAGCAAAAGUCUGAUGCAUAUUCUGAAUAGCUUGCUGAAUCAAUGAUGGACUGGAACCAGUGAUGAUAAUAUCAUCAACAUAGACUAAAACAAUAGUUAUAUGACCACUGUUCCAGGCAUAAAAAAGAGAGUUAUCAGACCUUGAAUGCUGAAAAUGCCACUGGGAGAUCAUUGCAUCCUUAAAUCUAUCAAACCAGGCUCUAGGAGCCUGUUUUAAACCAUACAAAGCCUUAUUCAGCUUGCAAACAUGAUUAAGUUUAGUUGAAUCAACAAAACCUUGAGGUUGAGCCAUGUACACAUCUUCAAUUAAAAUGCCAUUGAGGAAUGCAUUAUUAACAUCCACCUGCCUAAUAACCCAGUGGUUCAAUAUUGCUAAGCUAAGAAUAACUCUGAUAGUUGAAGAUUUAACCACUGGACUGAAGGUUUCUGUGUAGUCAACCCCAUGUGUCUAAUGAAACCCCUUAGCAACAAGCCUGGCUUUAUACCUUGAAACCGAGCCAUCUGAGUUAUACUUAAUUCGAAACACCCACUUGUUACCAACUAUCUUCACUGGAGUAGCAGGUAAAACCAAAUCCCAGGUGUGAUUAGUUUUAAGUGCUAGAUACUCUUCUUGCAUAGCUUUAUACCACAUAGGAUCAGAGAGUGCUUUGGAAACAGAAGUUGGUUCUGAUUGCUGGGCUAACAAGGCUGACAAAUAAACUUUUGGCUUAAAAAUACCUGCUUUUGAUCUGGUUACCAUUGGAUGACCAGAUGGUGCAUGUUGUGGUAAUGUAUGUGGAGGUGAGGAAUGGGAAGAUGAGAAAGGAGAAACUGAGUUGGAAUUAUCAGAAAAAUAAACUGGAGUAGAGUUUGGGAAUGAAAUAGAAGCAUUAGACUGAUGAUCAGUAGGUUGAGGUGCUGAUGAUGCUGCUAAAGGUGCUUGUAACUGAGUAACAGAAGAAGUAGAAGACUUAAAAGAAGACUCAGAGUGUGAUGUAGACUGACAGCUUAAAGAGGUUGAAGAAAACUCUACCCCAGACUCAUAAGGAAAGGAAUUUUCAUCAAAGGUGACAUAAUUGGAAAUAUACACCCUUCCAGAAGAGUGAAGACACAUAUAUCCCUUGUGUUGUGAACUGUAGCCAAUGAAUAUACAUCUAGCAGUUCUGAAAUCAAACUUAUAUCUAUUGUAUGGUCUGAGUGUUGGAUAACAAGCACAGCCGAAAGUUUUAAGUGUUGAAUAAUCUGGUUGAUAAUGAAACAACUUUUGGAAAGGAGAAAUGUUAUUUAGAACUGGAGUUGGAAGUCUGUUUAUCAAAUAGACAGCUGUGUGGAAUGCAUUCCACCAAAAUUUGAGUGGUAAAUGUGCUUGAGCUAAUAAAGUCAGACCUACAUCAACUAUGUGUCUAUGCUUCCUCUCAAUUCUUCCAUUUUGGUGAUGAAUAUGUGGGCAAGGGUGUCUAAAAUGGAUACCAGAAGUAGUGAGUAAUGAGGAAAAAGAUCUGAACUCCCCUCCCCAGUCAGUUUGGACAGUUUUGAUGGAAAGUUGAAGAUGCUUUUCAAUGAAUGUUUUGAAAUUUUUAAAAACUUCAAGAGCAUCAGAUUUUGCUGAUAAAGGGAAUAUCCAGGUAAACCUACUAUAAUCAUCUAGGAUUCACAGGUAGUAGUUAUAUCCUUGGGUAGAACAAACAUGAGAAGGACCCCACAGAUCUGCAUAUAUUAGUUGUAAAGGUUCUGAAGUUUUUGUUUCAACUGAAUCAAAAUGCAGCAUAUGAUUUUUCCCAUAUUGACAUGCAUAACAAAAUUUCAAACUUUCAACUUUAUUAAGAGCAGUAAAGUUGUUACAAGCUUUGAGUAUGGUUUUGAGAGUAUAAGGAGCUGGGUGUCCUAAUCUUCUAUGUAGAAGAUUUACAUAAGUUAAACCCUUUGCAACAACUGACAGACAUGACUUUUUAUUCAGCUCAUAAGAACUAACAGCAGAAGGCUUAUCAGAAGUAAAAACAGGAGAACAAGCAAAAAGAGACUGAAUUUUUUUUUUACCAACUGAACUGAGAAAAACUGAGUGAGCAGCAGCUUGUGAAGAGACUCUAUACAAGCCACCUUUAGCAACACCUUCAUGUAAAAUUUUCCCUGUGUUCCUGGCCUUUAUAAAACAGAAAUCACCAAGAAAUUCAACAGUAACUGGAUUGUCAGCCAAUAAUUUGGAAAUGCUAAGUAAAUUCUUAGUAAUAAAGGGAAUAUGAAGAACAUGGUUAAGAAAUAAAGAUUGAGAAUUUGAAGUGUUCAGCACAACUGAUCCUAUAUGUGUAACAGCUAAUGCAUUUCCAUCCCCAACAAAUAACUUCUCAGUACCAGUAUAAGCUUGUGAAUCUAGAAGUUUACCUAGAUCAUUAGUAAUGUGAUUUGUGGCUCCACUGUCAAUGUACCAGGAAAGAUCUUCAAUGUGUUCUGGAAGUGAAGAAGACAUAGUUGAGGAAGAUGAAGCACUUGACUGUCCAGGAUUAUUGUUUCCUUGACCAGCAACAAAAUUAGAUGAUCCAGGAGUGAAAGAGUAAUAGGCAGAAGGAUUGUUAUCUGGAUACACUAUAUUUCCUUGAUAACCAAAACCCCUGGGUGCAUGACCAAAACUAGCAUUUUGUCCAAAACCAGCAUUUGAACCAAAACUUCUUCCACUAUUACCAUUAUAGACUCUUCCUCUACCAUAUUGCCCUUGAUUAAAACCUCUGUCACCAUUCAUAUUGCCUCUACCAUGAUUCCUCUGUGGAACAUAAGAUGAGUUGUACCUAUUCCUGCAUCUAUUUGCUGCAUGACCAGGUAUGAAGCAAAUUUGACAAACAACUUCAGAGGAAUUACUACCAGUAUUAAACUGACCAUAUCCAUAUCCAUUAAAACCUCCAUAUCCAGAAUUAUUACCACCUCCAUAGUUAUUUCCAUAAUUUUUCUGAAAAUUUCCAUUAUUCUUUCUAGCAUAUGAGUUCUUCUGAGCAAUAUUUGCUGUCAUGUUAUGCAUCACAUCACCAGCAAUUUUCCCUUUCUUUUGCUCAACUCUAUUUUCAUGAUUCAACAACAAAGAAUAUAGUUCAUCUAAUGUGAUCUUUUCACCUCGAGCUAACACAGCUGUGACUAAAGACUCAUAGUCUGAUGAAUCAAGACCAGUUAAUAUAUGCAUCACAAGAUCAUUUAACUCAAUAGGUUUUCCAGCUAGAGCUAAAGUAUCAGCUAUGCGUUUUACUUUUACAAAAUAAUCAGACAUAUGCAUUGCACCUUUCUUAAUAGUUUGAAUCUGCAUUCUAAGUGUUUGAAUUCUAGCUUGUGAUUGAGAGAUAAACAUACUAGCAAGAGUCUCCCAAAGCUGUUUUGAAGUUGUAGAAUCAAUCACAGUAGCAAGCAGAUUUUGCUGUAUCGAUGACAUCAUCCAACUCAGUAAGAGUUGGUCAGUCUUCAUCCAAGCUACGAAUUCUGGAUUAAUAGAUCUGGAUCCAGAUUCAGUUAAAACUUCAGCUCCAUUGUUGUUUCCAGAAGAAAGAAACUGCUCAGGACAUUCUCGAUCGCCAUUGAUAAAUCCUUCCAAACCGUUUCCUUUGAUUGAAGUUAAAAUUUGUGUGCGCAACAGAAUGAAGUUGUUUUGAUCUAGCUUUACUGGCGUAACAAAACUGAAAGAGUUGUUGUUUUGAACUAUAUUUGCCAUUUAUGGCUCUGAUACCAUGAAAGAAACUUAGUUCUAUAUUGUUUGGUAGGCUAGAAAAUGAAAGGAAAUAAAAGAAAAGCUUUGCAAAGAAAUCUGUUAGAUCUUUUAUUAUUCCAAACUUACAGUUUAAUGACUACUAAUUGAUAUUUAUAUUGAGCUACAAUCUCUUAACAUACACACGAGAUUGUUGUAACACAACCAUUGCUGUAUAACUAACUUGACACAUCAGCUCAACCAGCUAACUAACUUUGACAGGCCAGCUUAAUGAUUUGAUCUGCUACAACCAGCUACACAGCACAUCAUGCUCUGCUCCAGCUACACAGCAACAACAUGCUCUGCUCCAGCUUCAUCUAAUUCACUAACACUAGCUUUUCCUUUUGUUUAUUAAAUUUUUUUAUGGUCACAAAGUAUUACUCGUUCUAUUUGACAAUGAUGUGAAUCAAUUUUUCAAUUUUAUAUUUUGUGGUCAACGUGAAUUCAAUUUCAUUUGUCUCCUGCAAUUAUGAAAAAAUUACAGUCAUAAUAUGGGGAAACCUGUGGUGCAACUGUGGUACCAUGUCACAGUUGCAUCCAGCCGUUGGAUGCCAAUAGAUCCCACCAAUUUAAGUGCAUCCAACAGCUGGAUAUAACUAUAGCACGGUACCACAAUUACACCGUAACUUGAUCCCAUAAUAUGGAAAAGUACACCGGCAGAAACUUUGUAAAAGCUUCGGAGUGAUACGGGGAAUUCACUUACUACUAAAGACAGUUGGUGGCAACCUAAUGUCCAUCCAUCUAUUUAGUUAUUGAAGAUUAGUGGUCCAUUUGUAAAUUUCAGAUUGUCUCUCUCUCUCUCCCUCUUGAAAUAACAAUAUUUAAUAUAUCUAUUAAAUUAUUAUAAAUUUUAAUUUACUCUCGAUUUAAAAUGGAGCAUGUCGAUAAAUUUUUUUUCUUCUUAAUAAAAUUGACGUAAGUUGUGUUUACAGUAGUUUGAAGUUUGAAAUAUUUUAAAGAUUAUUAUUCUAUAAGGGAGUAAUAUGAACUGAAAUUUACUUUUCAUGUGUGAAAUGAAAAACGACGAAGCAAGUGUCCCUGCUUUUAUUUUAUUUCAAGGAGGAGUCAUCUCACAUACUUUAGCUCUUAACAUUACAUUUUUUCUGGUUACAUUUUUAUUUUUUAUUUUUUUUAACACAUGCGUGUGGGAUGCUUUUCUGUAAGCUCCUUAAUAUAUAUUUAAGACAAAUCAUGGAAGAGAUGGGAUUAUAUCAAGAUGAUCAAAGCAUGUAAAAAAAGAAAAAAGAAAAAAAAAUUAAGAAGUAAGACACUGAAAAUGGAGAAGAGAUGGAAGCAAAAGAUAUUCCAAACAAAGCAAUCUAUCCCCUUUCGAGGGCAGACUUAUCAGGUUUAAAAAAGUACAUGCUUUGGAUUGGUAGUUACAAUCAAGGGAAAAUAAAUAGGAUCCAAUGAAAUUUAAAUCUUGGAGAAAAUAAAUAAUCAUGCAGAUUUUCAAGAUUUUAAUAAGGGAUACUAAUAUCUUAUUUUGAUUAAUAACAUUCUUUCACUGUGUUAACUCAAAAAAAAUAUUAUAAUGCUUUACAAUAAAUACAAAUGUCCUAUUAAAUGAAUAUAUAAAAAAUUUAGAAUAUUAUAUAAAAUAAUUUUAAUAUAAUGCGUGAGAUAUAUUUUAUUAAUUUAAAAUGUCAUUUUACCUAAAAAAUAUGAUAAAUUGAUAAUUACAUAUUUGAAGUUAUUUCAAAUAUUAAAAAAAUUUAAUAUUAUUAGUCUUUUAGAUAGAUUAAAUUAUUUUUUAAAGAGAUAGAUUAAAUUAUUUUAAAAUACCUUAAUUGUUUUUACUUUAAACAUUACCGGCCUUUCUUUUAUUUUAUUGCAAAUUAAUGCUAACAAGAAAAAGCUAGAUCAUAUUCCACAAAAGCAAAAGUGACAAACACAGCCAGCUGGAAUCUUUUAUAAAACUACAAAUUAAAAUGGAUUUUUUUUUUUGAUAAAUUACACAUGAAAGUGGAUUCUUUUGAAUAUAAGUGGGGUAGGCUCUUUUAUUUUAUUUUUGAAUAUUGUAUAACGGGACUGUAGACUCUUUUAUUAAACUACAAAUUGUAUAGUCUUUUUAAAAUUGUUAUAAAUUAGUGGCCCCUAAAAUCCUCAACAAUUGUACCGAUAUUCACAAGUUGGUGGCCCCUACAAUUCUGUUCAGUUAAUUUAACUGUGCAAGUGCUCAUUCACAAUCUUCCAGGUCAUGCUCUUAAUAAUUUUUUUUUUUUUUUCUGCAUUCCCUUUCAUGCUCUUAAUAAUUGAAGAGCAUACUUUUCAUUUUCAAAUGUGGAGCCGCAGCUAAUGUCGUUAAUUUAAUUUGGGAUUAAAUUAGGGGACCAUUAUAUUGCAGUGUGCACUAAUUUUUGUGUUUAUCUAAACUCCUUAAAUUUAAGACAUAUUAUGGCAUAAAUAAGAAUAUAACAAUAACAAAAGAGUUAGAAAGUGUAGAGAAGAUCUUGCAGAAAUAUAAAUAAUAUCUAUUUUAAAAUAAUUUUUAAUAUUUUAUGAUCCAUUAGAUAUAUUUUAUUAUAUUAAAGUAAAUUUUAUAAUAAAUGAAAACAUACUAUUAAAAUGAAUAUAUAGAAAAUUUAGAGUAUUUUAAAUAUUAUAUAAAAUAAUUUUAAUAAAAUAUGUGAGAUAUUCAUAUUUUAUUAAUUUAAAAUACCAUUUAACCUAAAGAUUUAUUUAUGAUAAAUUAAUAAUUAUAUUUUUGAAAUUACUUCAAAUAUUAAAAAAAUUAAUAUUACUAAUCUAUUAGAUAGAUUAAAUUAUAUAUAUUAUUUUCUAUUUAUUAAAAAAUUAAAAUUAUUUUUAAUUACUAUUCAAAAAAUAUAAUGAUAAAAAAAAAUCUUAACAUCUUUAUUAAAAAUUUAAAAUUUACAUGAUCAAUUCUCUAAAUAUUUAGGGUAUAUGUGAACAUCGGUGGAGAAGCUUUAUUUAAUAUUAUUGAUUUAAAUAAUAUGUCAAUUAAAAAUGUGCGGAGAAGAAAUUUCGGUGGGUAUUUUAGUCUUUUCAGCAAUUAUCAUGAUCAGAUCAGCCUUUAGCCUUGAAACGUCGGUCAGAAAGUUUUAAAAUUAACGCUAACAAGAAAAAGCUAGGUCAUAUUCCACAAAAGCAAAAGUGACAAAACAACCAGUUGGUUUCUUUUACUAAACUACAAAUUAAAAGUGGAUUCUUUUGAAUACAAGUGGGACAGACGAUUAGGCUCUUUUUAUUAAAGGCAAGUAAAAAGUAGUCGAAUAGUCUUUUUCAAAUUCUUGUUUUAAUAUUUUUCAAAACUAGUUUUUGGUAAUUACAAUCGGGUCAUUCAUUAAUCAUUAUUCAGAGUAAUUAUGAAUUUCCCAAUUAUAAUUACUAACUGUUUUUCCUUAACCACUCGGCUCAGCCCGAGUGGCCAGGGCUGCUGCCCUCCAAGUUCGAACCCCCACAAAAGUAUUGUGGGGGUAUUUUCUUUCUCAAUUAAUUUGAGUGAAGGUAGUCUUUUCCUUUAUCCAUGAGUGAGGAGUAGACAUCCCUCGAAUAUUUGUGAGGGUUAAAAUCUGAGUAGAGCUCUAUUAGCAUUGAUGUAAGUUGAUCCCAGUAAUUGUCUGAUCUGUAAAUAUCAGGUUAAAAUCUGGGCAAAGCUCCAUUAGCAUUGAUGUAAGUUGAUCCCAGUAAUUGUCUGAUCUAUAAAUAUCAGUUAUAGUCUCAUGUAAUAUGAGUUGUAAUCUGAGCAAUAGUCUCGUGUAAUAAAAAAAAAAAAAAACUAUUUUUCCUUCAAAAGUUAGAGACUCGUGUUUGCAACUUGCAAGUGUGAAUGUGCAAUGCUCUUUGUCUAAAGGCUAGUGUUUCUAGUGGGUCCCGACUCGAGCGUGCCUAAAUCAUUUUAAAAUUUUUCCCGUAUAAUGGACAGAGGUCAUUACUAAAAUUUCUCUUCCACAGGCAAUUACAGCAGCUCCAGUUUAUCAAACUCAACCAAUUUUCUUUCUUAACAAAAUUCCAAAGAUGUGUAGCUUUUUUCAGAUCACAUGCGAUGGUGCUCUUUUCAAUCGUUGCUUGGAUUGCUUUCUUGGAAAAGCAGCAUACAUACGUAACCUCCAAGAUAAUCUUGAUGCCUUGGAGACUGAAUUGGGAAAUCUGAUCGCUAAAAAGAACGAUGUGAUGAGGAGGGUUGUCGAUGCUGAACGGCAACAAAUGAGAAGGCUGGACGGAGUGCAAGUGUGGGUUUCGAGGGUGGAUGCUUUUAAAACUGGAGCCGAUGAACUUAUCAUAGACGGCUCUGAAGAAAUUGGCAAAUUAUGUGUUGGAGGCUACUGUUCCAAGAACUGCAGGUCAAGCUACAAAUUCGGAAAACAAGUGGCUAGAAAGCUACGAGAUGUGGAGACUUUAAUCGCCGAGGGAGUUUUUGAGGCGGUGGCUACUGAGGUGGUGCCUGAGAGAGCUCCAGAGCCUGUAGCAGAUAAAAGACCCAUUGAGCCAACAAUAGUAGGCUUGCAAUCACAGCUUGAACAAGUUUGGAGAUGUCUUGUAGAAGAAUCAGUGGGAAUCAUUGGCCUAUAUGGUAUGGGCGGUGUUGGUAAAACCACACUAUUGACCCAUAUCAACAAUAAAUUUCUUGAGAGUCCCACAAACUUUGAUUGUGUGAUUUGGGUCCUAGUUUCAAAAGACCUGCGACUUGAAAAAAUUCAAGAAGAUAUUGGGAAGAAGAUAGGUUUGGUUGAUGAUUCAUGGAAGAAUAAAAGUUUUGAAGAGAAAGCUGUGGACAUCCUGCGGAGAUUAGGAGAGAAGAGAUUUGUAUUGUUGUUAGAUGAUUUAUGGGAGCGGGUUGAUUUAACAGAAGUGGGCGUUCCACUUCCCAGCGCACAAAAUACUACCUCAAAAGUCGUAUUCACAACCCGUUCCAUUGGUGUUUGUGGCAGCAUGAGAGCUAGGCCGGUUAAAGUGGCAUGCCUAUCAGAAAAGCAAGCUUGGGAACUGUUCCGCGAAAAUGUUGGGGAAGAAACUCUUGAGAGUGAUCAUGAGAUCGUUGAGCUAGCCCAAACUGUAGCCAAAGAGUGUGGUGGUUUGCCACUCGCACUUAUUACUAUUGGUCGAGCUAUGGCCAACAGAAAUACAGCUGAGGAGUGGAGACAUGCAAUUGAAGUAUUAAAAAGGUCAGCUUCGGAGUUUGCGGGUUUGGAAAAAGAUGUAUAUCCUCUUUUAAAGUUUAGUUAUGAUAGUUUGCAGAAUGAGACGAUUAGAACUUGUUUCUUAUAUUGCUGUUUGUAUGCGGAAGAUUAUGUCAUUCCUAAAUGGGACUUGAUUGAUUGUUGGAUUGGUGAGGGAUUCUUAGAGGAAUCUCACGGUUUUGGUGCAGAAAACCAAGGAUACUACAUUGUGGGCACUCUUGUUCGUGCAUGUUUAUUAGAAGAGGUGGAAGAUGAUGAAGUAAAAAUGCAUGACGUUAUUCGUGAUAUGGCUAUAUGGAUAACCUGUGAAAUUGAGAAGGAGAAGAGAAACUUUUUGGUUCGUGCAGGUGCUGGAUUAAAAGAGGCACCGGAUGUUAAAAGAUGGGAAAAUGUGAGAAGAUUGUCAUUGAUGCAAAACCAAAUUGAAACUCUGUCAGAGGUUCCCACAUGCCCUCAUCUCCAUACUCUAUUUCUUGCCUCUAAUAAUAGUUUGCAGAGGAUCACCGAUGGCUUCUUCCAACUUAUGCCUUCUCUCAAAGUUUUGAAGAUGUCAAACUGCUGGAAUUUUACUUUGAAAUUACCUUUGGCGAUGUCAGAGUUGGGUUCGUCACUAGAACUUCUUGAUAUUUCAUAUGCCAGCAUAACAGAGUUACCAGAAGAGUUAAAGUUGUUGGUAAAUCUGAAAUGUUUGAAUUUGAGGUGGACAGAUACGUUAAAUAAAAUUCCACGGCAACUAAUAUCAAUUCUUUCAUGGUUACGUGUGUUGAGAAUGUUGGGUACUGGCUGGUUCAAUUUUCUUGAAGCACCAGAAGACAGCGUUUUAUUUGGUGGGGGUGAAGUUUUGAUACAGGAAUUGCUCGGUUUGAAAUAUUUAGAGGUAUUGGAGUUGACCUUGGGAAGUUAUCAUGCUCUCCAAAUUCUUUUGAGCUCAAAUAAGUUAAAAAGUUGUAUUCGAUCUCUUUACCUCCAUUUGACCGGAGAUACAGCGUCAAUUAUUGAUGCUACGGUUUUCGCAGAUCUAAACCAACUCAAUCAAUUAUGGAUUGAUGAAGGUAUUGAGUUGGAAGAAUUGAAGAUUGAUUAUACGGAGAUAGUACGAAAAAGGCGGGAACCUUUUGUUUUCCGCAGCCUUCACUGUGUUCGUAUAGAGCAGUGCCAUAAAUUGAAAGAUGUGACAUUCCUCAUUUUUGCUCCAAACCUCAAGUCUCUUGACCUAUCCUACUGCUCUUCUAUGGAAGAAGUAAUCAGCGUCGGAAAAUUUGCUGAGACUCCUGAGAUGAUGGGACAUAUAAGCCCUUUUGAAAAUCUCCAAAGUCUUCAUUUAUCGCAAUUGCCAGCUUUGAAGAGCAUCUACUGGAAGCCAUUGCCUUUCACUCAUCUCAAAGAAAUAUCUGUGGGUUAUUGCCGUAAUCUUAAAAAGCUUCCACUCGAUUCCAACAGUGCAAAGGAGCGUAAAUUUGUAAUUCGUGGAGAAGAAGACUGGUGGAACCGACUUCAAUGGGAGGAUGAAGCCACUCAAAUUGCUUUUCGUUCCUGUUUCCAACCAAUGGGAGUACUGAGCGGUGGUCGCAAAAUUUGAUUUCUGGUGAGUGCGUUUGUCUUUUAAAAGCAGAAUUUAAAAGAAAUUUAUUCUUGUCGUUUUCUUCUCUGUUUUUAUUUGAUUUCUGGUUAGUUUCUCUCUCGCACUGCCAUUACUGUUUUAAUUUCCUGUCAAAAGACGAGCGAGAAGAACAUAUAUAUGACGUAAACCAAUUGAUAAAUAUUAAUUGCCUGUUCUCUGUUUUUAUUAAGUAUACUUUAUUUUGCCCUGUUCUCUGUUUUUAUUUCAUUCUCUCUCUCUCCCUCUCUUUCCUGUCUUCUGCAAGUCAUAAUUAAAUGUUGAAUUAUAUGGAAUUAAUGCUUUAUAAAUCUGCCUACGCUGGCUUUUUUUUUUUUUUUUGUGGGGUCGAAUUGAUGCUCUGGUUUUCGACUACUUUUUGUUGUCAAAAUUUUCUCUGUUUUUUCAAAUUGAUGCUUUAUUUAUAUCUUCUUCGUGAAAAGUGAUUUAAUUUCCUGCCAAAAGACGAACGAGAAGAACAUUAGAGUCUAACUAAUGCUCACAUAAAUUUCCCGUAAGAAUAUAUAUAUAAUUAGACUGGAAUGCACACCUCUAGAUUGAACAGAAUUAAAGCUGAGAAAAUAUUGAGUAUAGUAGCCCUCUUUACAGAAAAUGACGCGAAAGUUAAUUUAGAAAAAGAUAUAUUCUUGAUUAAUCCAUUUUCUGAAGUUUUUUAUUUUGUAUGGUCAAUUAUACCUUCAUACUAAAAAUUUCUGAAGUUAUGGGGUUGUUGGAUGUGUUUUGGAUAUUUGCAGCUAAGUUUGAGUUUAUAUCUCAACUUAAAAUUUGUAGUUUUCACUUGAAAAAAUUCAGUUAAAAAUUUAUUGGUAGAAUUGUGAAAAAAGUUAAAAUUUUUAGUUCAACCCGAUUGCAUAUUUAAGAACAUCUCAAAUGAAUUGCUUACUGCUAUCAUCAUCAUUAUUGUCCAUAUAAUAAUGGAUCUUUAUUAUAUAUAUAUAUGUUUCCACUAAAAUAUAUUUAAUUAUUCUUUAUUUUUCCAUUGUUGCGUGUAAGAUUUAUUUGAGUUCUAAGUUAUAUCAAUACAAAUGUUAUCUUAUCCAUAAAAAAGUUAGAUCCAACAAUUAUGAAAAUUACCAUAGAGUUGCUUUCAAUUAUUUUUUAAAAAUACCAGGAGUAAAUAAUAAUUAGUUCAAGUGGUGUAGACUAAAAAGUGUUCACCUUUAUUUUUUAUCUGUUAUUUAUUUAUUUCAUUAAUGCACAUGCUAUACAUUUGAGACACUCCAUCCUAUGCAAUGUGAAUAAAUUUCUUUCCUUUUUCCUUUACUCUUUUUAUUUGACAAUAAAGUUUCCAUCUAUCAUCUAUCAUCUAUCAUCUAUGUACGCAAAAUUUCUGCAACAAGUACAAAACAUAAAAAUAUAUAUGAUUGUUAAGGGAAACACGCAGAAGUUCAUCAUUUCAAUGUUCAGUAUUACCAAUUUUGGCAUUAAGCUUGUACGAAUAUAUUCCACUUAGAAAGCAAAAUAUUAGACUCAUGAUUUUAAUUCAUUCAUUAUCUCUCAUUUUAAUCCCAAAAUAUUCAAGAGUAUCCAAGUUACCAUAAGACUUCAGAGGCUCGAGCCUUAGCCAGAGAUGGUUAAUUGAUAGACUAUGUGCCUGGGUCGAGCACUGGAAGCCUGCAAUGCAGACUGAUUGAUUUAUCAGUUUGACGUGUGCCAGGAAUGAAGAACUGGAAUAUCACCGUCAAGCACGCACCCUGUGGAGCAAUACCAAAGAAUGCACAAUCUGGCUUUGCUAGGUGACACUGGAGGCUUUUUGAAAAGUGCUUCACGCUCACUUGCACAGAUUGAGCAUCCCCUCCGGAUAUUGCCCUCUCUGAUCGAGUCCGAGCACUCAAAUUUCAAUCCUCAGAUGGAGCUACAGCUUUCUCUCCAAUAACCAACAAUUUUCUAAACUCAGCUCCUAGUGUGAUGAGAGUUGUUGAUAUUUGUAAAUGGAGAUCCCCAUAUUUGCAAAUGGAGACAUUUAACAAAUCACCAACAUGCUUCAUUCGGUCUACGAAAUUCUGCAGCUGAUUCAAAUCCGGAACCUGAACCAGAGUCGGAGGUAAAUCUUGAGCCAUAUCUAAAGCAGUCUGAAGUUCAAGUACUUGAGCCCUUGACAAUGGUUUUGAAAUAGGAACAUCUUGGAUUACUGCAGACUUGUACCCCUUGGUUUCAAAGGUAAGGAAAGGCAUUGCUUGAGUACAAUUUGGAGGCAGCUUCUUCACCAAUUUUAUUUGGAGGCGAUUGGCAGCGGAUCCAGCUGCACCAAUUUCAGAGCAAAUACUGACACUACUUCGAACAGCACACUGAAGAAGUGAUAUGUCUACGGCAAAGGCAAUGCAGUCCUCAUUUUGGCUUGAGAUGCAGUAAUCAUCGAAGAGAGUUUCCUUGUGAAACUGGGCAACACAUUGAAUCCCUUCGCCACUGAGAAGGUUGUGGAGGAAGUAAGCUUUCUCUCUAGUGAGGAAGAGGUGGCAUACCUUCCCCAUUUUGUCUAGGGCAGGUAGGAAUCAUUUUUCUAAGAGAUUUACUUCAUUCUCUGUGAGAAAUGAAUUGAACUUCAUCCCUCUGUCUCUAUCCUCACUUAUCAGAAAAUAAGUUGAAAGCACUUCGGAGAGAGAGAGAGAGAGAAUUAAGAUAUAUAGACAAGAAAAAUAUUAGACGUUGAUCUUACAAACUAAUACUUCAAGCAGUAUCCUAGAAAGCUAAAAACUGCAAGAUGGCUUGAAAUUUGAAAAGAGCACGUGCUUUUCCUCCUUAACUUGAGAAAAUGUUUAAUAUAGUGCACCUACAGAAGCAUUUAAGCAAUUAGAACUUUGCACAAAAACAUCAAGAAGACUAAACAAAUCAGAUGCAGUGUAUUUGUCCAAGCACAAAUUGCAUUUUGUCCUCAACUUUAAUAUUUAUUGAUGAGAAUCAAUACAGGUCCCUCAUUUGAUAUAGAAAGCUUUCUUUCUUGUAGUCUCACCAGUUAAUUCACAGGUCUAUAAUCAUCUUGCAAAGUUAAGGGCAUUUCUUUCGAUCUAAAGUCUUUGCAUCACCACCUCAUCACACGCCAAGCCAAUAUUCCAUUUACCUCUACAACAAAAAGUUUUAAGUAAACAAUCCUAAUGCACGCAGCCAAAUAAAAUGCAGUAAGAAUAUUCAACUUAAAAAUCUGAAAGCCGACUUGGUGAAUUGCCUCCUUAGGUGAAGUUCCAUGCUUUACUAUAGUUGACAGAACUCAGCAAAAGCUUCCAUACAACAGAUUUUGAAAAUGAUGAUGCCAAUAGAUACUCAUUCAAUCCAUUGAAAAUCCAAAGGUUCAUUGUUAAUAGAAGUUUACAGAGUUUUGGUCAUCAAAUAGCUCAGACCUAAUCCCAAACAAAAAACGAGUGAAAAUUAGAUCACGAGCAGCUGAUUGUAAAUUCUAACUUAACUCUUCAUCUCCUUUGUAAACAAGAAACAAAAUGGAGACACGCAAAAUGAAUAUGGAGAAAAUUUGAACUCAAAUGAAAUGAGGGCACGAAAGCAAACAAAUGGCAUGCACAAAAAAACCAAGCCUCAAUCAAAAACUAAUUAACCAUUAAGAAAAAAAUUGGUCAGAUAAUGAACUACAAAUUCAGGAGUCAAGCAAGAAGCUUUCAUUAUUUCAGAAGCUCCUGUACAAAUUAAUAAGUUAUGCUCUUUGGAAGCAAACCUAAAUUCCAAGAGAAACAGAACCCAAAAAAUUUGCAAUUAUACGCAAAGGGAGUGAAGCACAGGAUUCUAUCACACAUAGGAAUUGUAUAACAAGAGAUCGAUAUAUCGAAUUAGAAAACUCAAUUCGAAUUUGUGUCAAAAAUCAAAAUUAGAAGAUUUCACAUUUCGAGAGGAACAAGCAACAGAUGAAGUUCAAAAUUUCAGCCAUAACAUGCUAAAAAUGCUACACUUAACGGUUCAUUUUCAUGGAUUUUCUCGGGAAACAAACAGAAAAUUACGGUUUAGAGAUUUGACUGACCUUUUGGCUUUUGAAAUUGAGAAGAUCGCACGCCAAAUUGGAAGAGGGAAAGUGAAAGUGCGAGUUUUAAUAUGGGUAUUAGAUAAGGAAAUUUUAUUAGGUUGCGAGGGUAAAAAAGGAAAGAGAUAUCAUUGUUUUAUUAUCGAUAAUUAUUAAAUUUUUUUCCAAAAAAAAAGAACAAGCAAGGAUAUUUUAUUGUCAUUUGCAACCUUUAAUUUUUUAAAUGCUAUUAGAAACACAAGACAAUAAAGAAAUACUUAUUUUUUUCUAAAACUAAAAUCAAUUGUUUAAAAAAAAUUGUUUCAAAAUUACUUGAGUCAUAUCCAAUGGACCAACAAAGUAAUCGUUUUUAUUUUUAUUGAUUUUUGCAGGAAAUUAAUAACUUAAAAAUACUGAAAGCUAUUGUAAAAAUUUUUAUUAUCAACCUCAUAGUUUUUUUUUUUUUUUUUGGGAAGAGAAUUCAAACUUUUUUUUUUAUGAAUAUCGCUGUUUCGUUUGAGUUGGAUGUGAAUUCAAAUACAAAUAUUCUUUGUUUUUCAAUUCUGAACUCAAUUUCUUUUUUUCAAGAAUGUUAUGCAGAAAUGAUUUUUACUGAACGGCAACAAAUGAAAAGGCUGGGCCAAGUGGAAUGGUGGGUUUCGAGGGUGGAUGCUGUUAAAAUUGAAGCUGAUGAACUUAUCAGAGACGGCUCUCAAGAAAUUGACAAAUUGUGUGUUGGAGGCUACUGUUCUAAGAACUGCACGUCAAGCUACAAGUUCGGGAAACAAGUGGCUAAAAAGCUACGAGAUGUGGAGACUUUAAUCGCUGAAGGAGUUUUUGAGGCGGUGGCUACCGAGGUGGUGCCUGAGAGAGCAGAGCCUGUAGCAGAUGAAAGACCUACCGAGCGAACAGUAGUAGGCUUGCAAUCACAACUUGAACAAGUCUGGAGAUGUCUUGCAGAAGAAUCAGAGGGAAUCAUUGGCCUAUAUGGUAUGGGCGGUGUUGGUAAAACUACAUUACUGACCCAUAUCAACAAUAAAUUUCUCGAGAGUCCAACCAACUUUGAUUGUGUGAUUUGGGUAGUAGUUUCAAAAGACCUGCGACUUGAAAAAAUUCAAGAAGAUAUUGGGAAAAAGAUAGGUUUGGUUGGUGAUUCAUGGAAGAGUAAAAGUGUAGAGGAGAAAGCUGUCGACAUCUUCCGGAGUUUAAGAGAGAAGAGAUUUGUAUUGUUGUUAGAUGAUAUAUGGGAGCGGGUUGAUUUAACAAAGGUGGGCGUUCCACUUCCCGGACCCCAAAAUACUACCUCAAAAGUCGUAUUCACAACCCGUUUCAUCGAUGUUUGUGGUAGCAUGGAAGCUGACAGGAAGUUCCAAGUGGCGUGCUUAUCAGAAAAGGAUGCUUGGGAACUGUUUCGAGAAAAAGUUGGGGAAGAAACUCUUCAGAGUCAUCAUGAUAUCGUUGAGCUAGCCCAAAUUGUGGCCAAAGAGUGUGGUGGUUUGCCACUCGCACUUAUUACUAUUGGUCGAGCUAUGGCCUGCAAAAGGACAGCCGAGGAGUGGAGACACGCAGUUGAAGUGCUAAGAAGAUCAGCUUUUGAGUUUGCAGGUUUGGGAAAAGAGGUAUAUCCUCUAUUAAAGUUUAGCUAUGAUAGUUUGCAGAAUGAGACGAUUAGAUCUUGUUUCUUAUAUUGUUGUUUAUAUCCCGAAGAUUAUGGAAUUCUUAAAUGGGACUUGAUUGAUUGUUGGAUUGGUGAGGGAUUCUUAGAGGAAUCUGACAGGUUUAGUGCAGAAAACCAAGGAUACUACAUUGUGGGCACUCUUGUUCAUGCAUGUUUAUUAGAAGAGUUAGAAGAUGAUAAAGUAAAAAUGCAUGACGUUAUUCGUGAUAUGGCUCUAUGGAUAACCAAUGAAAUUGAGAAGGAGAAGAGAAACUUUUUGGUUCGUGCAGGUGCUGGAUUAAAAGAGGCACCGGAUAUUAAAGGAUGGGAAAAUGUGAGAAGAUUGUCAUUGAUGCAAAACCAAAUUAAAACUCUGUCAGAGGUUCCUUCAUGCCCUCAUCUCCAUACUCUAUUUCUUGCCUCUAAUGAUAAUUUGAGGAUGAUCACAGAUGGCUUCUUUCAAUUUAUGCCUUCUCUCAAAGUUUUGAAGAUGUCAAACUGUGUGGAUUGGCCAGUUUCGAAAUUACCUUUGGCGAUGUCAAAGUUGGGUUCACUACAACUUCUUGAUAUUUCACAUACCGGCAUAGAAGAGUUACCAGAAGAGUUGAAGUUGUUGGUAAAUCUGAAAUGUUUGAAUUUGAGGUGGACAUUUGAGUUAAAUAAAAUUCCAUGGCAACUAAUAUCAAAAUUUUCAAGGUUACGUGUGUUGAGAAUGUUCGCUACUGGCUUUGCCCGUUUUGAUGAAGCAUCAGAAGACAGCGUUUUAUUUGGUGGGGGUGAAGUUUUAGUACAGGAAUUGGUCGGUCUGAAAUAUUUAGAGGUAUUGGAGUUGACCUUGGGAUGUCAUCAUGCUCUCCAAAUUUUUUUGAGAUCAAAUAAGUUAAAAAGUUGUAUUCGAUCUCUUCUCCUCCACUUGGCCGGAGAUACAACGUCGAUUAUCGAUGCUACGGCUUUCGCAGAUCUAAACCACCUCAAUGAAUUAUGGAUUGAUAGGGCUAAGGAGUUGGAAGAAUUGAAGAUUGAUUAUACAGAGAUAGUUCGAAAAAGGCGGGAACCUUUUGUUUUCCGCAGCCUUCACCGUGUUACUAUACAUAGCUGCCAGAAGUUGAAAGAUACGACAUUCCUCGUUUUUGCUCCAAACCUCAAGUCUCUCGAUCUAGACCGUUGCGAUGCUAUGGAAGAAAUAAUCAGCGUCGGAAAAUUUGCUGAGACUCCUGAGAUGAUGGGACAGAUAAGCCCUUUUGAAAAUCUCCAAAUGCUUGAUUUAGAAGAUUUGCCACAUUUGAAGAGCAUCUUCUGGAAGCCAUUGACUUUCACUCAUCUGAAAGAAAUAUCUGUGGGUUAUUGCCGUAAUCUUAAAAAGCUUCCACUCGAUUCCAACAGUGCAAAGGAGCGUAAAUUUGUUAUUCGUGGAGAAGAAGACUGGUGGAACCGACUUCAAUGGGAGAAUGAAGCCACUCAAAUUGCUUUUCGUUCCUGUUUCCAAUCUCUUUUUGAUUAACUCUUAUACAUUUUCUCGUCGUUUGCUUCGUGCAAAAAAGACUACGUCUUUUGUUCUCUGUUUUUAUUUCAGUUUCGUUUGUUGUCUCCUGCAAAUCACAAUUAAAUGUUGAAUUAUAUGGAAGUAACGCUUUAUAAAUUUUCCGGCACUGCCAUUUCUUUUUCCUCUUUUUUUUUUUGGGUCGAAUUGAUGCUCUGGCUUUUUUACUUUUUGUCAUCGAAUUUUGCUCUGUUUUUCAAAUUGAUGCUUGAAUAUGUGAAUUCAAUUAAUGCUCACAUAAUUUUGUUUAGUUGCCGUAAAAAGAAUAUAAUUAGACUGCAAUUCGCACUCCCAGAAUGAAUAGAAUCACAACAGAGAAAAUAUUAAGUAUGCUAGCCCUCUUUACAGAAAAUCAAAUGAAAAUAAAAUUUUUUGGAUAUUUGAUUUUCUAUGGUCUACUAUAUACAGUUUAUAAAUUCUUCUGUUCUAAGGAUAACCAAAUCCUUUGUUCAAGGAUUUUUAUUUGGGGUAUUGAUAAUAGUCCACCAAAAUAGUGAAUGCUUGGAUGCUGCUUAAGGAUCUGUAAUCAAUAAGCUGGAAGCAAACGAGAAGGCGGUCGCUACUCUGUACAAAGCCAUGCAGCAAUUGCUAUUCAUCUUAAAUUCUUAAUAAUUACGAAGCUUUGGUAAAAUUUCCGAACAAAGUUGACAUGUUAUUUUGAGAUUUGGUUCCUGAUUUUGUAUGAAUAUCGCUGUUUCGUUUGAGUUGGAUGUGAAUUCAAAUCCAAAUAUUCUUUGUUUUUCAAUUCUGAAAUCAAUUUCUUUUUCUCAAGAAUGUUAUUCAGAAAUGAUUUUUACUAAAUCAUUUUUGAUGAAUUGUUUAAAUUAAACAAUUGGAAUAAGAAUUGUAACGAUUUAUCAUAAGCGUGCUAAUAUGAUAACUUAUUUUACGAACGAUUAAUUAAUUAAUCAAUUAAUGUUAAAUUAUAUAUUAAUCAAUUAGCUAUGUGUUGCAUUUAUCAUGUUUUGUAGGUGAUUCUACAUAAUUUCUAAAAGAAUAUAGUAAAAACACGUUAAAAAUUAUUUAAUGAAGAAAAUUUUAUUAAAUAGGUGACACAAUAAUAAAUGGAUUUCUGUAAGAAUUGAGAUUCUUGAGAUAAUUAUUACAUAAGGAGAAGUUUAGUUGGUUCAAUUUUGACAUGAUAAGAAGACAACACAGCACAGAAAACCCAAAUUGCCACUUCCACUAAUAAAAGAUACCUGUUUGAAAAGUAAUUAUAAACUAUCUUCUUUGUGUUAUUUCUCAAAACUUUUGUGGCACAAAUGUUAUUUCCAUUGACAACAGUACGAAAUACCACCCCUUUCACUUGAGCAGGAGCAAAGCAAAGGUAUGAUGAGCUAUCUCUGUAUAAUUGAAACGCCAUUACUAAACGAUUCUUGAUGAUGGGAGCCACCGUGCCAGCUUUGUCGCUGAUUUGCAUGAUUUAUUAGUUGUCCAGAUGGCGGAUUUUGUACUGUUACCUUCGUUUCAUUCUUCAGAGCCAUGUACAGUUCUAGGAUACCAGAGAAACCAAGGUGGCAUUGAAGUUGCCCCAGUGGUUAGUUUUCCGAUCAUUUUUUUUAUUCAAUUAUUUAUGUUUGUAGAAAAAUGUAGGAAAUAUGUAGAAAUGUUGACAGCUAUGAUUUUGAAACUUUUGCCUAAAAUUGUUAUCAUUACUUCUUGUUUCUUAUUUAAAGAGAAAUUCUAGAAACAUGAAAUGAUUAUUCUACGCUUGUUUUAAUAUUAUGCUAUGAAGAUUAUGAAGGUUUGAUUAUAUGUCACUAUCAAUUGCCUUAAUCGUUUGUCGUAAAUCAAUUAAGCAUUUUGAUGCAAAUGAUUCCCUAUUAAAAAAUUCAAGUCAGAGCUGAAUUGCAAAUUAGUUAGUCGUGCUUGCCAUUCAAAUUAAGUAUUGUAUUUUCUCCCUGAUUUGGUUGAUUCAACUAUGUGCAUUUGCUUAUGAACGUUGUAGUACAGAAAUUGAAACAUCUUGUCUUUUGCUAAGCCCAGAAGCAAAUUCUUUGUAUUCUACUCAUCAGUUUUCUUCAUUCUCUUCGUUGAAAUUUUAUCCAAACAGCGGUUUCGAAAUUGUUUUCACCACAAUACCUUAGUCUUUCAGAUGCUCCCGUCACUGAGUUGCCAGAAGAGCUAAAAGCCUUGGUAAAUCUUAAGUGUUUGAACCGGAGUACACAAAUUAUCUCUCUACAAUUCCAAAACAACUGAUUUGUUACUUUUCGAUGCUACAUGUUCUGCGAAUAUUCAGUUGUGAUUAUCUUGUUCAAAUACCAGAAAAUAGCGUUCUAUUUAGUGGUAAUGAAUUCUUGGUUUGGGAGUUGCUUAGUUUAAAACGUUUAAAUGUAUUAAGCAUCAUCUUGAAAAGUUUUUCUGCCGUCCAAAAACUUAUGAGCUCCCAAAAGUUUCAAAGCUGUACACAAUGCUUGGAGCAUAUAGGCUGUGAUGAUCCAAAGUCAUUUGCCUUGGCAGAGUUGAAACAUCUUGAAAAACUAGGUUUUUCGAGUUGUGGAAAUUUGGAAGAGUUAAAGUUCUGCUGUGUCGAAGUUGCAAAGGCUCGAGAAUGUUUUCGUUUGAACGGCCCUUGCUGAGUUAAGAUGAAGGCUUGUCAUAAAUUGUGGGAAGCGACAGGUUAUUCAAAUAGAAAAAUGUAUGGAGAUGGAUGUUAAUCUUAAGGUUAUUCAAGCAGACAAAUUCGAAUAAAACUUAUGGUAAGUGCUUUUCCAUUUAUUGCAUAUUUAUAUCUAAUUUUUAUUUUCCUUUAUUGUUAAAUUUUGCUCUAUAUUUGUUGUUGUAUGGUGGCAUUCUUGUACAAUUAUUAGCUUUUCAUUUCUCUUCUCACAUUAACUGCCCUUCUGAUCAUGUAGGAUUUGCUGAUGCAAAGAGUCAUAAUUUGGGAUACAAAUGUAAGAAUUAGACAGAUGACGUGUUGUUUUGAAGCUCUCGAAGAAGAAGGACUAAUUAUGUCAUUGAAAGCCUCCAAUUUUGUGAUUGGUUUCUUUUUAUUUUAUUUGUUGUUUUCUCUAUUUUCAGAUCGCUUAAUUGUUAGUUGUUGUAAUGUAAUGUUUUAGUAUAGAAAAUUAUAUUCGGCCAAGACAGCGAUAGGAAGGCACAUUGUGCAUGCACACUAGUGGAUUUGGCAUGCCAACUCCAAUUAGGAUGGAUAACACUUUAUAAGCAUUAGGCUUCUCUCGUACUUGAGUAAUAUAGAAUAUGUUUAUAAGUUGUGAAUCACCCUUUAUAAGUGUUAGGCUUCUGCUAUACUCAGUGAUGUGAAAUAUAUUUAUAAGCACUAAACUUCUCCCAUACACUUUAUGUUAAAAAUAAUAAUAAUAAUAAUAAUAAUAAUAAAAUAAACCCAUUUUAACAGACUCUUUUUUCUUUUUCUAUAUGAACAAAUGCAUUCUUCAAAGCAAUUGUGGGUAGAAGAAGUGAGUAGAGAAGAACUGGGCCCCUUUCAUUCCCCUAAAACCUCACCAAAACCUCUCUUGUAAGCUUUUCGGAUUUUCUUUCUAUAUUUCUUAGGAACUCAUUUUUUAUUGAAUCACUUCUUUUGCAUGCUGCAUUUUUUGUUUGUCGUAUUUGGGUAUUAUCUUAUCUGGAAUACUGUUAUGAUUGAUGGAACAAGUAAUCGAUUUUUGGUCUAAUGGAAGUUGAUUUAUUUAUUUAUUGUUAUUUUUAUUUGAAAUUAUGUACAAUUGCAUUUCAUUCAUUUCUCUCUCUCUUUUUCUUUUUUUCCCCCCAUAUAUUUGUUAUGUAUAAUUGCGUUUCAUUUAAUAUUGAUCAUACUGUAGGUAACCAUGUGAUUGUAGAUUGGGAUUUCAAGUUUGUUGAAUAUUCAUGUAAGUGAAGUAACCGUCACAAUACUAGUGAAAUUGGGAGCUUUAUUCAUGAGUUUGUGGUUUUGAAAAGAACCACAGUUCAACUGAUGAAGGCUCCUUUUUGGGAUUCUUCUUUUUCUAGGCUGCAAUUAGGAUAUGUACAUGAUAGACAAUCUUUUGUUGGCUUGGCAUAUCUUCGCUGAUUUUUUCUUUUAUUCCCCAAUUUUAUAAUUACACACCAUGAAUGUUGGGUGAUUGUAUAGAAAAUUUGUGUUAUAACAAAAACAUUGUGAAGGAGUUUCCGUGCUAAUAGUUAGUGGCUUCUGUUUUAUUGGCAUUGAUUGGGUAGAUUACGUGUUACAGUGAUUCAAUUUGUGUUCCAAACUUUGCUUUAAUUUUCUGUUUUCCCCAACUAUUUAUGUCAAAUUUAAAUCCAGAAGCAUGUACUGAUUUUUUCUUUUUGUAUUAAUCUGUGAAGUUUAUUUGGAAUGGAAGUAACUGGGUCGGGUCUAAUGGAUUAAAUUAUGACAUUGAGGGGAAGGCACUAAAAGGGUUUGCUUGACACAUUUGGUUCUGUGUUUACUCUGCAAGAAAUAGCUUUUGCUUAUUGCAAUGCAGGGGGAAAUCCCGAUUUGGCUGGUGAAUUUCUCUGCAACAAACAGGCAAACACCUCAACCUCUUCUGUCCAUACUUCUGCUGGGGAGGCAAGGGGUAAAGAGUCUUCAAAAUCAUCAAAUAGUAACAUCUCUGAGAAUUCAUUUUAUGGAAAUGGAAAAUCUAGAGCUUCUAAUACAAAAUGGCAUCUGGUAUCAGGACGUACCGUUUCAAGUUUUCUUGGUAAAGAUUAUGUUAAACCUGCACAGCCAGCUAAUGGCACUUUUCUGGCAUCAAAGCCAUUGAAGUUGGAUCCAAAGGAGUUUCCCAUGUCUGCACUUUGCAGAGAAGAAUCUAAACCGAAACAAUCAAAGGAUGACCAUUUGCAGAAGGACAUGGAAGAUUUUCUGUUUAAAUUUCCAGGAGAAGGGUUCCAGCUGAACAGGGAUGUGAUUCAGGAGGUUCUCGGUAAUGUCUUAAAUAUAUUGAUGCCAAUUUAAUACAUAUUGUCCUUUUCAAUGUUCUUUCUUUCUUUCUUUCUCUUCUUUUAUUCUUCUUCUUCUUCUUUUUUCUUUUCGUGUGCAUGUGAUUGCUAAUUUUGUAUUAUUUUUAACUUGCAGAUAGUUGUGGAUAUGAUAUGCAAAAGGUAAGGACUAUAUCCUCCUGAUAGAGGCCUCUGCUUUUUCCCUUCUAUGUACGUAAUUUAGUAAAUCGCAUAUUCUAUAUAUCAUACCAAAAUCCUGUCUUAAAUGCUGCUGGCAUAUGUUAAGGUUCAACUUGCAUUUUGAUUAACGUCCAUUUGCUACGGCUUCCAAAAUUGAGAAUGAGAUACUUUGGUUAAUUUCAGUAGUUGAACCCAAUAGGGUACUUUAUUUAGAUCUUCAUGGUUCAAAGGCCCGAAAAAACUUGCAGGUAUUUGCAAAAUGACAUUCUGUGCUUUUAUUUAUACUUAUUAUUUAAGUGAUAAAAAUUCCCCAAACCUGCGGUCAAGAAAAUUUCAGACAGUUAAAGACUCCAUUUUGUUUCAGCCAAAAAUGUUUAUUUCAAUUAAAGAUUUGAACCAUUUUCAUUUAACCUGAUUGUGAUGCUUUACAUUGUGCACGUUCCUUUCGAUCAAUAAACGUUGAGGUCAUGAUUUUAUAUUCCUAUAUUGUAACCUAAAAUAAUAGUUGGUUUGCCUGUUUCUGUAGCUUGAUAACAUGAAUUUUCCUUCUGAAGUUACUUUGAUCAAUAAAGUUAUUCUUCGGAGAAGAUAUGCCCAUUCUAUAAUCAUUUUCUUAGCUAAUAUGUUUUUUUCACUCUUCUGAGCAUGUCUAAACUAAUUGAUCGCUCGGCAGAGACUGUGGGUAAGAAAACAAAAUUUCAUGGUAAAUCCUCUUAAAAGGUAUGCAUAAUUGAAAUGACCCGCCCCGAAUUCCCCUCAGGCGAGUCUAUCUAGUCUCAUCAAAACGGACUUGAUAAUAAUUCUAUUAGUAAAGACUCUGCCAAAAAUUCGGCAGAAUUUUUUUUUUUUUAUAUAUAACACUCCCAAUCUACAAAUAUGAAUAUAACACUCCCAAUACAAUUCAGUAUACAACAAACUCCAGUGAUCAACAUCUUCAACCAAAAUGCUGAGCUUUAUAUCUCCAGAGUCUCAAAAGAUAAUAUUAUAACUAAUAUUAAUAUCUUAGUUUAUUCUUAAUCCCAAAAGAAUAAUAUAACAAAAUUAUACAAUCCCAACAGGACGAGAUAACCAAGAUGUCCUAACAAAAAUAUUUAUAUCUUCUAACACCAUCACGUGGCCGAGAUUCAAAAUAUAUUUACAGUCGCUAGGUCGGUCUGGUGUACCUGCAACCUCCUGGUGAGGGGGGAAAAAUAUAAUAAAAACGGGGUGAGUUUAAAACUCAGUGAGAUCAGUGAGUGAAUAGUAGUUUUGAAAAUUAAUUCUUACUUUAAAAAAAAUAAUCGUAUCAUUUCCAAACACAAUUUCAUUAAACCAUAAGCGAGAAACCAAUAAUAAAUCAUUAAACAUUUAAAUCAUAUUACUAACCAUAGAAAUCAUAUCACAAUAUCAUAUAGAAUACACAAAUCUAAAAAUCAUCACCAAACAAGUACCCAGAGAAAUAAUCUCGUCAUAUCCGAACCUCAACAGACGGGCAAUGACGUACUAUCUAGGUAACGUCACACCCCGGAGCUACACGGAUAGACAGGGAAAUACCAUCUCAUAUCUCAUCAUAUAUGUGCAUGCAUAAUCUAGUCCCCAAGGGACAAAAGCGCCCAAGCACACGGCCCAAAGCCUCUGUGUAUACUCAGAGGGACCCCAAAGGCCUAUAUCUCAUAUGUAUCAUAUGUAUCAUUUGUAUCUCAAUUAUCUCAUAUCCGUAUAUCUGUAAUCAUCAUACCGCAUGCAUAUGCCCCCAAAAGGAAAAAGCGUCCAAACACACGGCCCAAAGCCUUUAUAUAUAUUCAGACGGGUCCUAAAAGCCUCUCAUCUCAUCUUAUCUGUAUCACUGUAUCUGAAGGGAAUGGUACUGUCUAAUGAUUUCAAAAACAAUCAUUAUACUCAUAUUCACAUACCUCUUAAUCAUAUUUUAAAUCAUACCACAUUUGAAUCCACUUUUCUUAUCUUUAAAAUACUAUCAUGCUUUAUUCAAAGUCGAUACGCAAAAUCAAUAACCAAACAUUUUAAUAAAAUACCAAUGCGUAAAUAAAAUCCAUUUCGAGAAAUCAUUAAAUCAGAACAUUUAAAAUACUUAUUUCGCAAACAUGCUUUACUAUCAUCGCUAACUAUGAAAAUAAGUUUUGUAUAUUCCACUCACAGUGACGGUGUUCACGGUCGGUUCUCGCUCGCGGAUCCUCCUAAAUCAACGAAACGACAUAAUUAUUUUCCGUAAAUCGGAAUUAUGACUAAAUUUUAUGCAAUAAAUUUAAAACGAACAUAUAUUCAUAAUUGACAACUCCUGUGUCCAUAAAAUUACUAAAAUGCCCUUGAGUCUGUAAAUCAUUAACAUGCUUCGAAAUCGUAAAUUACUGAAUUACUCUCGGAAUCGUAAUUACACUCAAUCCUCAAUUCUAGGAAUUACUAACAUAUCCACGGGCUCAGAAAUUACAAAUUUGCCCUCAUAGUGUGAAAUUACCAAAAACUGGAAUUUGGUCAACACUGGCUAGGAAGCUCAAAUCGUAAAGUUCCAAUCACGCUGAGUUCAAUGGUACCGGCGAUGAUCUCCAACGCGCGGCAACGACGCCGGAAUCUAGCUCGGCAGCCGUGAAUUCCACCAAUCGACCGGCGGCAAAACAGUGACUCUCGGUGCCUAUGGAUGGUCGGAAAUGGAAGAGGGAGUCGUGGGGAACAAAAUUCAACCGGUGGUGUAGCCAAAACCGGCGAAAAUCCCGGCGGAGCAAAGUGAAACAGUCGCGGGUUUCAAGCUUCGAUCGCCGGUGUUCCGAUUGGUUUUUGGCGAGGAGGAUGGCAAGGGAACGACGGCCGGCUUCUAAGCUUCAGAUUGGUACCAAGCUCGGCCGAAACGGUGGCCGGAAAUGGGAGAUAUGGCCGGGUCAAGGUCGCGGGUUCCGGGUCGGGUUUUCGGGUCUGUAGUUGGGUCGGUUUGGCAGCUUCUCUCUCACUCUCUGUUACACGUGCAUAUGUUUCCUCUGUUUCUAGCUUAUUCUUUUGCUUUUACUAACUUCUUAACCGCCUCAUACUUAUUCAUUUUUAAUUCACAUAUGUUACAAUAAUUCCCGAGUAUUAAAUAACCAGUGGUCAUAAUUUUUGUACACGACUCUUUUUUUUUUUGGAGAUCGUUAAAAGUGAUUGACGAUCCAUUUUGUAAUAUCAUAGAGGGAUCAUCAAUUCCUUUUCUUUUCUGUGGCUAGGCAACACUUUUUGGCCAAAGUAAGGAAAUCUAUUUUAGGUAAUGUAAAAACCAGUUGUAGGAUGUAAUAGUUUAUUAUGCACUGACAAUAACUUUUUGUAUAAUUGUCAGUUUAAUGAAUACAAGAGGAACUCUGUUGGCAAAUUCAUCCAAGAUAGAUGCUAAAAUUAUUUAUGCAUGCCAGUUGCCUUAACUAAGUUUUCUCAGCACUGGUUUUGAACAGGAAAAUGAAUAUGCAAUUUGUAGAUUGUGCCAUAGUGGAGAAUUUGUAUAUUCUUAUUUAAGUAACAAGGAGAUUAUUUACCUCAUCUUUAAACAAUGAAUCUUUGAGAGAUGAGGAGUGGGUGAUUGGCUGUGUCUUCAUGUAAUUGUUCAUUUAUUUGUAUUUUGAACUGUUAUGAAAAUCUUUAUAUGCCAAAUUAGUAAUACAAGUAUUCAGAUGAUUUUUCCUAUUGAUCAUGCAUUUGUAUCUGCCCACAACCAUUGUAUAUCACUUUAUUCUGAUGCGCAAGCAUCUGUAAUUUAGAAGAAAAGAAAUAAUAAUCAUAUUUUAUUGCUUGGUUCAUGAUUAUUAACGAUUAUGGCUUUAAAAAUCUACAAAUUUCUUGUGUUCAUGUAUGAAUGUGCCAAGUUUGCUGUAUCUUAGAUUACCUUCUUCCAAGAUAACAAGUUCAUAUAUAUUUUUUUUUAAAAUCCUUUUCCAUUACAGUUGAAUUUCAAGUGUUAGUUUUGUUAUUAGUACCUGGUUUCCUGUUAUUAGGAUCUAAUAAACAGUGUACGGAUAUGUGCUCUACUUUUGGAGGGCCUCCACGUGAAAGAAAAUUGCAACAAUUGAAUUCUUCCGGAGGGUAUGGUAAUUAAUUUAUUUUCUCAACUUGUUGUAAGACUAAUAUAUUUCCUUCAGUAGGCACGGCAUGGUGGGAAGGGUUUUUAUUGAAAGAAUUCUGAUAUUUCUUAGACUUUGUUUUGGAAGGGGGUGGAGGGAUUUCUCAUCCAUAUAUGGUUACUUGAUUAGCUUUUGACUGUAUUGUCUCCGUCGUGCAAAGGAAAAUCUAAAUACUAACGAUGGGGAAUUGCUUAGGCACCCAAAAGGCAGAAAUGAAUUACAGAAGGAAGUUUUUGCUGCUUUAUUUAGUGCUGCUGAGAAAUCUGAUGAAUUUCCUGAAAUUACGGUGAAGACCGAGUGGAGGUCCAAAGCAUUAGGAAAGGUGGUGAGUGAACUGCCGGAGGAAUUAGUACCAGAAUACAAGGCUAAUGUGGUGCACUUGCAGCAAGAUAACCAGACCGGUAUGUGCUCUUAUAUUAACUAUAUUGACUGGAUUUGUUAGUGUGUGCAUUUUUUUGUGUAUACUCACUUUUGUAUUUAUGCAUAUUAACAUGUGUAGGAUUCUUGAUUUCUGCCACUUACUGGAGAACUAGUGGAAAGCUUUAUACUGAUAUAUCUGCAAUAACUAAUGGAAACUAUGAUAUGAAUAUUUUCUCUCACCUGGGGAGCUGUGUAACAGAUAUACUUUGUGGCUCUGGAAUGCUGAAGAUUCUGCAAUAACUAAUGGAAAAUAUGAUAUGAAUAUUUUGUCUCACCUGGAGAACUUUGUUACAGAUACCCUUUGUGGCUCUGGAGUGUCUAAAGAAUGCUUCCGUUAGAUCAAAUAUCUUUUAGUUAGAAAAGAUAAAAUUCUCUGAGUCUGAAAGACUGAAACAUUUUGCAUAUUUUGUGAAAGGGAAAUAUCUGUUGAUACUAGCUCAUGCAUUGAGGUAAUAUCGAUGUUAAAGAAAAACAGCAAUGAUUUAUGAUAUAGAAUUGGGUUCACUUGCUUUAAAUGCUGGUCUGAUCAACCAUAUCAACCUGUAAUGAUUCUGCAGAAAUAUAUAUACAAGGAGAAAGUAGCUAAAUUUUUCUUUCAUUUAUGGGUUCGGUCUUUUUUCCCCUUAUUUUUCAGCUUUCCUUCUCCUGAAGUAUGUUAACAAUUGCAGAUAAUGAUGAAGAGGACAGCUUCCAGGCUCUCCUUGGAGCCAUGAUGGAAUAUAGGGGCACAAUGAAGGAAUAUUGUAAAGCUGUAGGUACUUUUUCUCCUGUCAUUUAUGUUUUCUCACACAUUUUGUAUAUGCCCUGAACAUGCACCUUUGUAUGUAUCAAUUGACUUUUAAAUUUUAAAAGCCAUAAAGUAAGAAUACGGUUCCUUGUCAGGCUACUGAUGACAUUCGCUCAGGGGGAUCAUGUUCGAGCAGGAAAAUUUCUAGAACAGGUAAGGUUUCCAUCUACAGCCAUCCAUUGACAGCAGAUAAAUUUUCAUUCAGCAGACUCUGUUAGCAUUCAAGAUGCUGGCAGAUUCACUUGAUUCUUAUUAGCUUGUUUAGUGGCAAAGCCUAUAACCUGUAUUUCAAAGCCAAGUUGUGCUAUUGAUUAUGUUAACUUUUUUGUUAACAUAAAAUGAUAUGGAGGAAAUAAUCAGUGUUGGAAAAUUAGGUGAAAAGAUGAUGUCAAAUCUUGAACCUCUUGCGAAACUCUAAGUUCUUUACUUGAAGAGGCUACCAAAUUUGAACAGCGUCUACUCGAAGGCCUUGCCAUUCCCUGAUGCAUGCAGAAUUUUUGUAUUUAAAUGCCCAGAGCUUAAGAAGCUGGCACUGGAUCUUGAAGGGGCAGACCAAGGUAAAAUUCUUAUCAAGGGAAAGGAAGAUUGGUGGAAACAACUUAAUGGGAGGAUCAAGUAACUCAGAAUACAUUGCUUCCAUUUUUUAAAUCGACUGACAAGUGAUUGAACGGGGCAUCAUCAAUAUCAUCAACAGGGAUGGAGAGAUGCCGGAGCAGAUCAGCAGGGUUUGAAUAUGACCUUCGGCGGUUGCUUUUUUUUUUUGUGAUUUUUUUUCAUUUUUUCCUUCCUGUCAUUUUAUCAUUUCUUUGGCUCUGUUUCUAUUGCGGGUGUUACUGCAUGCUUACUGUUGCUUGACAAAGUUUGCUAGCUUUUUGUUUGCAGCGCUGCUAUACGCCCCGAGUCAAGCCCCGAAAAUUUAUUAAACGACGCCGUUUCGACAGUAACAAUUCUUUUCUUUUCCCUUUGCCUGUUUCUUUCAUCUGCUGUUUCUCUAUCACUUUUCAUUUUUGAUUUCCGUGCUUCCCAGCUGCCCCUAAAUUGUUAUUCUAGCAAUAUACUUUCUCAUCUUUGAAUUUUCAUCCUUGAGUACUCCCACAGCCGUAAUUUCAUCAUUAUAGACUUCACUUGGAAUGCUAGAUUUUUUCGAUUCUUGAGCUACUUCAAUUACAUCUUAGUAUAGGAUCCUCAUCUUCCUUUAUUUCUUCAUCUUAUGAGGUAACAAAUGGAUUUCACAACUCAUCUACUUUUAAGCAAUUACAUAUUAUACCCUGAAUGAUUCAACUGUUCCGACAGUUAAAGAUUUUAUGCUCAACCUGCAGUGCUACGAACAUUGUCCAUGAAAGAUGAGUUUCAGCAUAUAAAAUGAAAUAUAGAUGUUUAAUCUAAAAUAACCCUUCACUGCCAGAAACCUAGGUCACAAAAUUCACAGAUAAUGAUAAAGAACUAAAAAAUUUGAAAAACUCUACAGAUCACACAUCAAGCAAGAUAUCAUGUUUUUUUCCCUCAUUCGGUGGUGAUUGAUUCGCUUUUUGAUGAUGGAUAUGGUAUAAAAGUUUUGACCCAAUUUCAAGCAAACACAAAUAGAAACACAAACACAAUCAGGACUAGAGUUGUGGGCGAUUAUCUCAGGUGUACAAGUGAAACGGUGGUGGCUGUCGAUGGUGGUAGUGGGGUGGUUGGGUAUGCGUGAUGGCUAGAUUUUAGGACAAUAAUGGUUGGAGUUGACCUCAAUCAACGAAGGAAAGUGACAACAAUUUUGACAUCAAAUGGUGCAUUUUUUAGCUUAGUAAAAUGGAACCGUUUUGAAUUUGGGGUUUAAUCCGGGGUUUGACUCGGUGCAAGUAUCAUUUUCCUUUUGUUUAUUAAAUUUUUUAUGGUCACAAAGUAUUACUCGUUCUAUUUGAGAGUGAUGUGAAUCAAUUUUUCAAUUUUAUAUUUUGUGGUCAAUGUGAAUUCAAUUUCAUUUGUCUCCUGCAAUUAUGAAAAAAUUGCAGUCAUAAUAUGGAAAAGUACACCGGCAAAGACUUUGUAAAACCUUCGGAGUGAUACGGGGAAUUCACUUACAACUAAGGACAAUUGGUGGCAAGUUAUUCCAUUCAUUUUAUGUCCAUGCAUCUAUUUAGUUAUUGAAGAUUAGUGGUCCAUUUGUAAAUUUCAGAUUGUCUCUCUCUCUCUCUCCCACUUGAAAUAACAAUAUUUAAUAUAUCUCUUAAAUUAUUAUAAAUUUUAAUUUACUCUCGAUUUAAAAUGGAGCAUGUCGAUAAAUUUUUUUUCUUCUUAAUAAAAUUGACGUAAUUUGUGUUUACAGUAGUUUGAAGUUUGAAAUAUUUUAAAGAUUAUUAUUCUAUAAGGGAGUAAUAUGAAAUGAAAUUUACUUUUCAUGUGUGAACUGAAAAAGGACGAAGCAAGUGUCCCUGCUUUUAUUUUAUUUCAAGGAGGAGUCAUCUCGCAUACUUUGGCUCUUAACAUUACAUUUUUUCUGGUUACAUUUUUUAUUUUUUUUUACACAUGCGUGUGGGUUGCUUUUCUGUAAGCUCCUUAAUAUAUAUUUAAGACAAAUCAUGGAAGAGAUGGGAUUAUAUCAAGAUGAUCAAAGCAUGUAAAAAAAGAAAAAAGAAAAAAAAAAUUAAGAAGUAAGACACUGAAAAUGGAGAAGAGAUGGAAGCAAAAGAUAUUCCAAAACAAAGCAAUCUAUCCCCCUUCGAGGGCAGACUUAUCAGGUUUAAAAAAGUACAUGCUUUGGAUUGGUAGUUGCAAUCAAGGGAAAAUAAAUAGGAUCCAAUGAAAUUUAAAUCUCGGAGAAAAUAAAUAAUCAUGCAGAUUUUCAAGAUUUUAAUAAGGGAUACUAAUAUCUUAUUUUGAUUAAUAACAUUCUUUUACUGUGUUAACUCAAAAAAAAUAUUAUAAUGCUUUACAAUAAAUACAAAUGUCCUAUUAAAUGAAUAUAUAAAAAAUUUAGAAAAUUAUAUAAAAUAAUUUUAAUAUAAUGCGUGAGAUAUAUUUUAUUAAUUUAAAAUGUCAUUUUACCUAAAAAAUAUGAUAAAUUAAUAAUUACAUAUUUGAAGUUAUUUCAAAUAUUAAAAAAAUUUAAUAUUAUUAAUCUUUUAGAUAGAUUAAAUUAUUUUUUAAAGAGAUAGAUUAAAUUAUUUUAAAAUACCUUAAUUGUUUUUACUUUAAACAUUACCGGCCUUUCUUUUAUUUUAUUACAAAUUAAUGCUAACAAGAAAAAGUUAGAUCAUAUUCCACAAAAGCAAAAGUGACAAACACAACCAGCUGGAAUCUUUUAUAAAACUACAAAUUAAAAUGGAUUUUUUUUUUAAAAAUUGUUAUAAAUUGGUGGCCCCUACAAUCCUCAAUAAUUGCACCGAUAUUCACAAGUUGGUGGCCCCUACAAUUCUGUUCCGAUAAUUUAACUGUGCAAGUGCUUAAUAAUUGUUUUGUUUUUUUCUGCAUUCCCUUUCAUGCUCUUAAUAAUUGAAGAGCAUACUUUUCAAAUGUGGAGCCGCAGCUAAUGUCGCUAAUUUAAUUUUGGAUUAAAUUAGGGGACCAUUAUAUUGUAGUGUGCACUAAUGAAUAUGUGAGAUAUUCAUAUUUUAUUAAUUUAAAAUACCAUUUAACCUAAAGAUUUAUUUAUGAUAAAUUAAUAAUUAUAUUUUUGAAAUUACUUCAAAUAUUAAAAAAUUAAUAUUACUAAUCUGUUAGAUAGAUUAAAUUAUAUAUAUUAUUUUCUAUUUAUUAAAAAAUUAAAAUUAUUUUUAAUUACUAUUCAAAAAAUAUAAUGAUAAAAAAAAUCUUAACAUCUUUAUUAAAAAUUUAAAAAUUUACAUGAUCAAUUCUCUAAAUAUUUAGGGUAUAUGUGAACCACGGUGGAGAAGCUUUAUUUAAUAUUAUUGAUUUAAAUAAUAUGUCAAUUAAAAAUGUACAGAGAAGGAAAUUUCGGUGGGUAUUUUAGUCUUUUCAGCAAUUAUCAUGAUCAGAUCAGCCUUUAGCCUUGAAACGUCGAUCAGAAAAGUUUUAAAAUGCUUAAUUGUUUUUCACUUUUAAAAAUUAAUGCUAACAAGAAAAAGCUAGGUCAUAUUCCACAAAAUCAAAAGUGACAAAACAACCAGCUGGUUUCUUUUACUAAACUACAAAUUAAAAUAGAUUUUUUCGAUAAAUUAUAAAUUAAAGUGGAUUCUUUUGAAUACAAGUGAGACAGACGAUUAGGCUCUUUUUAUUAAAGGCAAGUAAAAACUAGUCAAGAAUCGAAUAGUCUUUUUCAAAUUCUUGUUUUAUUAUUUUUCAAAACUAGUUUUUGGUAAUUACAAUCGGGUCAUUCAUUAAUCAUUAUUCAAAGUUACUGUUAUCUUCGGGGGCAGUGGGUAAAAGAUAAUUACUAACUGUUUUUCCUUCAAAAGUUACCGGCUCAUGUUUGCAAGUGUGAAUGUGCGAUGCUCUUUUCUUAAAGGCAAUUACAGUGGGGCCCGAAUCAGAGGUGCCUAAAUCUUUUUAAAAUUAAUAAUAAUAUGAGUAAUAAUUAAUAAUUACAGUGGGUCAACUUUUGAAAUUAGAGUCUAGUAUCUCUCUCCCUGUCAUUACUAAAUUUUCUCUUCCACAGCCUACAGCAGCUUCAGUUUAUCAAACUCAAUCAAUUUUCUUUCUUAACAAAAUUCCAAAGAUGUGUAGUAUUUUUCAGAUCACAUGCGAUGGUGCUCUUUUCAAUCGUUGCUUGGAUUGCUUUCUUGGAAAAGCAGCAUACAUACGUAACCUCCAAGAUAAUCUUGUAGCCUUGGAGACUGAACUGGGAAGACUAAUCGCAGCAAAGAACGAUGUGAUGAUGAGGGUUGUCCAUGCUGAACGGCAACAAAUGAGAAGGCUGGACGGAGUGCAAGUGUGGGUUUCGAGGGUGGAUUCUGUUAAAACUGGAGCCGACGAACUUAUCACAGACGGCUCUGAAGAAAUUGGCAAAUUAUGUGUUGGAGGCUACUGUUCCAAGAACUGCAGGUCAAGCUACAAAUUCGGAAAACAAGUGGCUAGAAAGCUACGACAUGUGGAGACUUUAAUCGCCGAGGGAGUUUUUGAGGCGGUGGCUACUGAGGUGGUGCCCGAGAGAGCUCCGGAACCUGUAGCAGAUAAAAGACCCAUUGAGCCAACAAUAGUAGGCUUGCAAUCACAACUUGAACAAGUCUGGAGAUGUCUUGCAGAAGAAUCAGCGGGAAUCAUUGGCUUAUAUGGUAUGGGCGGUGUUGGUAAAACCACACUAUUGACCCGUAUCAACAAUAAAUUUCUUGAGAAUCAAAACAACUUUGAUUGUGUGAUUUGGGUCGUAGUUUCAAAAGACCUGCGGCUUGAAAAAAUUCAAGAAGAUAUUGGGAAGAAGAUAGGUCUGUUUGAUGAUUCAUGGAAGAAUAAAAGUUUUGAAGAGAAAGCUGUGGACAUCCUGCGGAGAUUAGGAGAGAAGAGAUUUGUAUUGUUGUUAGAUGAUAUAUGGGAGCGGGUUGAUUUAACAGAAGUGGGCGUUCCACUUCCCAGCCCACAAAAUACUACAUCAAAAGUCGUAUUCACGACCCGUUUCAUUGAUGUUUGUGGUAGCAUGGAAAGUCACAGGAAGUUUAAAGUGGCAUGCUUAUCAGAAGAGGAUGCUUGGGGGCUGUUUCGAGAAAAAGUACGGCAAGAAACUCUUGAGAGUGAUCAUGAGAUCGUUGAGCUAGCCCAAACUGUGGCCAAAGAGUGUGAUGGUUUGCCACUCGCACUUAUUACUAUUGGUCGAGCUAUGGCCUACAGAAAGAAAGCGGAGCAGUGGAGACGCGCAAUUGAAGCGUUAAGAAGAUCAGCUUCAGAGUUUGCAGGUUUGGGAAAAGAGGUGUAUCCUCUUUUAAAAUUCAGCUAUGAUAGUUUGCAGAAUGAUACGGUUAGAUCUUGUUUCUUGUAUUGUUGUUUAUAUCCUGAAGAUUAUGGCAUUCUUAAACGGGACUUGAUUGACUGUUGGAUUGGUGAGGGAUUUUUGGGGGAAUCUGACAGGUUUGGUGCAGAAAACCGAGGAUAUGACAUUUUGGACACUCUUGUUCGUGCAUGUUUAUUAGAAGAGUUAGAAGAUGAUAAAGUAAAAAUGCAUGACGUUAUUCGUGAUAUGGCUAUAUGGAUAACCUGUGAAAUUGAGAAGGAGAAGAGAAAAUUUUUGGUUUGUGCAGGUGCUGGAUUAAAAGAGGCACCGGAUGUUAAAGGAUGGGAAAAUGUGAGAAGAUUGUCAUUGAUGCAAAACCAAAUUGAAACUCUGUCAGAGAUUCCUACAUGCCCUCAUCUCCUCACUUUAUUUCUUGACUUUAAUGAGAAGUUGGAGAUGAUCGCGGAUGGCUUCUUCCAAUUUAUGCCUUCUCUCAAAGUGUUGAGGAUAUCACACUGUGGGCAAUUAGAAGGUUUUCAAUUACCUAUUGGGAUGUCAGAGUUGGGUUCGUCACUAGAACUUCUUGAUAUUUCAUAUACCAGCAUAAGAGAGUUACCAGAAGAGUUAAAGUUGUUGGUAAAUCUGAAAUGUUUGAAUUUGAGUUGGGCACAUAGGUUAUAUAAAAUUCCACGGCAACUAAUAUCAAAUUCUUCAAGGUUACGUGUGUUGAGAAUGUUCGCUACUGGCUAUGUGUGUCUUCAUGAAGCAUCAGAAGACAGCGUUUUAUUUGGUGGGGGUGAAGUUUUAGUACAGGAAUUGCUCGGUUUGAAAUAUUUAGAGGUAUUGGAGUUGACCUUGGGAAGUUAUCAUGCUCUCCAAAUUCUUUUGAGCUCAAAUAAGUUGAAAAGUUGUAUUCGAUCUCUUUUCCUACAGUUGUUCAGAGAUACAACGUCGAUUAUUGAUGCUACGGCUUUCGCAGAUCUAAACCACCUCAAUGAAUUAUGGAUUUAUAGAGGUAGUGAGUUGGAAGAAUUGAAGAUUGAUUAUACGGAGAUAGUACAAAAAAGGAGGGAACCUUUUGUUUUCCGCAGCCUUCACCAUGUUACCAUAUAUAGUUGCACUAAAUUGAAAGAUUCGACAUUCCUCGUUUUUGCUCCAAACCUCAAGUCUCUUCAGCUACUCGAUUGCUAUGCUAUGGAAGAAAUAAUCAGCGUCGGAAAAAUUGCUGAGACUCCUGAGAUGAUGGGACAUAUAAGCCCUUUUGAAAAUCUCCAAAGUCUUUAUUUAAAUGAUUUGCCAAUUUUGAAGAGCAUCUACUGGAAGCCAUUGCCUUUCGCUCAUCUAAAAGAAAUGACGGUGCAUCGGUGCGAUCAGCUUGAAAAGCUUCCACUCGAUUCCAACAGUGCAAAGGAGCGUAAAUUUGUAAUUCGUGGAGAAGAAGACUGGUGGAACCGACUUCAAUGGGAGGAUGAAGCCACUCAAAUUGCUUUUCGUUCCUGUUUCCAACCUCGUUCCUGAGCGGUGGUCGCAAAAUUUGAUUUCUGGUGAGUGCGUUUGUCUUUUAAAAGAAGAAUUUAAAAGAAAUUUAUUCUUGUCGAUUGUUUUCUUCUCUGUUUUUAUUUGAUUUCUGGUGAGUGCGUUUGUCUUUUAAAAGAUGAAUUUAAAAGAAAUUUAUUCUUGUCGAUUGUUUUCUUCUCUGUUUUUAUUUGAUUUCUGGUGAGUGCGUUUGUCUUUUAAAAGAAGAAUUUAAAAGAAAUUUAUUCUUGUCGUUUGUUUUCUUCUCUGUUUUUAUUUGAUUUCUGUUUUUAAUGGAAUUAAUGCUUCAUAAAUUUGCCGGCACUGCCAUUACUUUUUUUUUUAAUACAAAUUGAUACUUUAUUUAUAUCUUCUUAGCGAUUUAAUUUCCUGUCAAUAGACGAACGAGAAGAACAUAUGACUUAAACCAAUGCUCGCAUAAACUUGCUGUAAAAAGAUAUAAUCUCACUGAAAUGCACACGUCUAGAAUGAAUAGAAUUAAAACAGGGAAAAUCAAUCAAUUCCACCUUUUGCAAUUUCUUCUGUUCUAACAAAAACCAAUUUCUUUGUUCAAGUAUUUUCGUUUGGGUAUUAAUAAUUCUCCACCGAAAGAGUGAACUCUUGCUCAAGGGAUCUCUAAUCAAUUGCCGGAAGGGCGCCGAGACCUGAUCGGACCUAGGCCCAAGUUUGGUCUUAAAGCCUGGGCUUGAGCCUGGCAAUUAAAUUAAAACAUUAAUUGAUUUCUUGGUUGAUUUGUCGUGUAAUUGAUUUAUGGGGGAUGACACAUCAACAUACUUGAAAAUACACUAAUCUCAGCAUCAUCGGUUAAUAACUUUUAGAUUUAUGCGUAAUCAAUAGUUAAGAUUAGUUGUCAUUAAUACUAAAUAUUUUUUACUUUUUUUGUCUCUUCUAGAAAAAUGCAUCCACAAUUAAAUUUAAUACUUUACAUAAUAAACAAAGCAUAAAUGUUAAAUUUAAGAAACUGCAUUGUAUUUCAGCUGAAGUUGACUUUAAUAUUUAGGGUAGAAAAAAAUUAAAUCCUUAAUGUGUUUAAUUUGUAUCACUUGUGUCAUUAAAAUUUUCUAGUCACCCUAACCAAUUACAUCUCAACCCACUUUGUUUUUGGAUGAUUUUAUUUUUAGACUAUUAUUUUCAUCAUUUUUUUUCCUUUUAACACCAACAUUAGUGUAUGUUACGUAACAUAAUUCAUAUUUGGAUCAUUUGAAAUUUGCUUGUGUUUUAUCUAAAAAUAGAGCUUCAAUCAAAUUGUACCUCAUAAAUUCACAAUAUCUAUGAGGGCUAAUGAGACCAAACUCUGGCAUAUUGUCAAAUGUGCUUAUCCUUUUGCUUGACAUGUCAUUUUAAAAUUGUCAUUCAAUGCCAAAAAAUCACAUCAACUGAUGGCCGACUACUUUAAUUUGAAAGCAUGCAUGCGAUCGCCAAUAAUUAUAACUUAAUUGUUAUUUUGAAAUUUUUUUCUUUAUAAUUUUUAAGUUUAAUACUACUACAUGUGCAGCACAUAAGUUGGAAAAUAUAACAUAAAAUUUGAAAAAUGUGUAGCUUUCGUUCCUUUUUUUUCUUAAAAAUGGGAAAAAAGAAUGUAGUUUUGUUUAAAUUACUGUUGUGAUUACAAUUAUUAUUUUAUUGAUUAAUUGGCAGAGAAUCGUAAUGGUUUUGCAUGGUUGUUAAAACAUUGGAAAAUCCACUACAUCAUCCGUUAAUAACUUUCAGAUUUAUGAUUAAUCAAUAGUUGAGAUUUGUUAUCAUUAAUGCUAAAUAUUUUUUUAAUAUUUUCUCUCUCUCUUAGAGGAUCAUCCAAAGUAAAAAUUUAAUAUUAUAAAUAGUAAACAAAGUAUCAACGUUAAAUCGAAGAAACUGCAUUGCAUUUCAACUGAAGCUAACUUUAAUAUUUAAUGGAGAAAAGUAAUUAAGUCCUUAAUGUGCUUUAUUUACCCAUAUAUAUGGCUAAUUUUUCAAGAUAAAGGGGAAGGAUGAUGCUCAAAAAUAUAAAUUAUAGAAUUAAUUGAACUCUCAAGUAAGUUUAAAGUUCAUUAUUUUUAAUUACUUGUUUAUAAUUUAUUUUUAUUUCGUAUUAAUCUAUGGAUCUAAAUCCCCUUUGGAUUCAUAUACAUAUAUAGACAUAAUGUGUAUGUUAAUCUAUAGGUCUGAAUUCACUUUAGGUCUAUAUAGGUAUUUUGACAAAUGUACUCCAAUCAUGCAUAUUGGCAAGUUCUAACUACUCUAUUGAUAUAUCAAUAUUAUUUCUAACUGCACUAUAGGUCCAAAAAUAAGUUAGAAAUACAAAUUAACAUAAAAUAAAAAUAAUUGGUAGAAAAUACAAAUUAUAAACAUAUAAUUGAAAACGAUAAACUUUAAAUUUACUUAAGAGAGUAAUUAAUUUCAUAGUUAAAAUCUUUAAAUUUUACCCCUCAUCUUAACUUAAGAAAAUUAAUCACUUAUUUUAUUUAAUAAAGAAGAGAUUUUUUUCCCCUAUAUUUCCCAAUUAUUUCUCUCCCUCUCGCUCCCGUAAGUUAUACAACUUGAAGUGAAAUAUGAGUGGUCUGAUUCUAGCUUAAAUAAUUUAUUGUGACAUGCUAUCUAAGGACAAUACAUUACCUAGCUCUACAUAUUUUAUUUAACCUCCGGCCCACCCUGUGCAAACUUGCCUUUCCCCUGCAAGACAAGAUUAAUCAAUGUAUCAAGUCUCAAAUUCAAUUUCGAAUAUGACCAUCGUACGCUCUUGUUCUUCCCUCUUUACGAGUGCAUUCCCCCCAACCUCAAGCUCCCUCUCUCGUCUUCAAUGUCACUGCUUAUAUCCUUAUGUUGUUCUAGUUUGAAAUAGUGGCUUCCACUAUUUCAGGGCCCCCAAAAAUCCAGAAACAUACUAUUCAUCACGAUGACAAAAUUUUUGGCAGGCAGGUGCUUCCUGACUUUCACACGGUAAUUCUCAAAUUCUGAUUUCACCAUAUUUUAAUUACUGAUUAGCAUAUAUUCAAGUGCUCUCCAUUAUAACGGAAGCCGCCGCCUCACUCGUGAUUCCAAACUUUUAUCUUUUUUUCCUUUUUUAAAUUAAUGCAAGUAGCCGCUGUCCUUUUUAUUAAUUAAUUAGUUCGGCCGCCCACAUUUCUUUUCCUAAUGUCUUCUACUGUCGAUUUUCUUUUAUUUUCUCUUUUUUCUUAAAAUAUACUUAUAAUAAUAAAAUAUAAAAAUAAAAAUUAACAUAUCAAAAUAUAAUUUAAUAGAAAAUUAAGAUAAAAAAUAAAAAAAUUAUGAGCAUAUCAAUCAAUAAAUGAAAAAUAAUAAUUUUUAUUUUUAUUAAAUAUAUAUUUUUUAAAAUUAAUCAAUUAUCUGAAUAAAUCAAAUCAUUUAAAAAUAAAUAAAUAAAUUAUUCUUAAAUAAAAAAAAGAAACUUUUUAUAACACUCACUAUGCUGGUUGUAGGGUAGACGCUUUGGGGACUGAAGCUGGUAACUUCUACAAGUAGUCUUAAGUUGACUGGCAACAACUAUAUUGGCAUUUAGACAUAAUGUACUGCAACCAUAUUGGUAUGUUCAAAUGUUCUUACUAUUGUAUUGGUGUAUCAAUAUUAUCUCUAACUGCCUUAUAGAUUAAAAAAAAUCUAAAUUUACAAUUUAACAUAAAUAAAAUAAUUGGUAAAAAAACAAUUAUGGUUUAUUUACUUAUCAGUAAUCAGAAUAGACUGAAAUCGAAAUGAGCUGUAUUACCGUUAAUGUGUUUAUGUUGUCCUUGAAUCGGAAUGAAUUAUUUUAAGUUACUAAAAUAUCAUUGGUUUGUUAUUCUAAUUAUUAUUAUUUAAUAUUUAUUAUAAUAUUUGUCAUAUCAUUAAAAAGAAAUAAUAAUGAUGAUAAUAUUAUCAUUAUUGUUUGUUACAUUAUUAUUAUUCAAAAAAAUUAUUGUUAAUAACAAUAAUUACUUUAUUUCAAUAAUAAUAAUGAUGAAAUUAAUAAUAACAAACAUGACAACAACAAUAAUUAUUUAUUAUGCCAAAAAUAACAAUAAUAAUAAGAAUAAUAAUCAUCAUCAUUUUUUUCCCAAAGAAGCAUUAUCAUCAUCAUUUAAAAAAAAAAUCAUCAUCAUCAUUUUUGUAGUUACUGUUUCAAUUUAGGAAGAAGCUGUUUCGUUGUGCUAACGAUGGGAGAUGUUGUGGCUGCGAUUCGGGGAGCUACUAGUUUAUUGCACUAAUGACGACAGGUGCGGCUGCUUGAUGCGAGGUCCAUGGCCAGUUGUCAGCAGUUCGACUUUGGUAUGGGCGUUGCUGGUUCGAUUUUAGGUGUUGUCUAAUUUCAUUUUCAGGAUUUUAAUUUUAAUUUUUUUUUAUAUUUUCAUUAAUUAAUCAGUGCAAAGUUUGAUUUUAGAAUUUGGAAUGAAGGUAAUUUUGUUAAUCAUGGAAAUGAGAUUCUGAUUGUCGAGAAUGAACUUACAAAAUUGCUGCAAAUUAAGUGAAAACAAAACGCUUUUUCUCUUUGUGUGAUUAAAACAUGAAAUGUACCAUAAAUAAAUAGGUAAAAAAUAAAUCAACACAAUUCAAAAUAGUAAACCAAUUACAAGAGGCACAAAUUUUUAUGUGAAAUACCGAAAAUGAAAAAAAACUAUAGCAUCCUAGUCUAAUAUAAUCUUCUACUAUAUUAAUGGGAUUACAGCACAAAUUCUUCCCUAUCUAACACUAGAGAUUAACAAUAUCAAAAAUCUCAAUAAUCUUAACUUACAAUACAACCUAAUAUAUGUCUCUCUAAUAAGUAGAUAUCUAAAAUAACAGUCUCUAAUAAGUAGGUAUCUCAAAUAAUAGUUAAUAAGAGGAUAAAACAAAAAUUAAGAUUAGUAGAAUGUGUAUAAGGCGAUGCUAUCAACUUAUCUUCUAAAUUUGAGAAAAAUAGUUAAAUUCACUUUUUCGAUUGUACGACCAAAGAUGGAAACCCUUGCCCCAAAACCAAAGGAAUCACCAUUGUGUUUUUUUUCUCUCUUUCUCUUUCUCGUUCUUCUCUUCUACUUUUCUUAAUGUUAGCCGCCACUUGCUUUUAUUCUUUAUAGCAUUUAAAAAGCUACUUUUAAUGGUAAAUUCAUCUAAGUCCAAAACUUAGUGAUAAUUGCACACCAAACAAUCCUUUUUGGACUAUGGACUUUUGGGCCUCCAAAUGAGAUGAAUACAACAAAUCUCCCCCUUCAGAUUAUGUGGGGGGCACUACAAGCCCGCUCUCUGCAUAUAGCUUUUCAGCUUCUCCUUGAAUAAUGACUUUGUCAUCAUACAUAACCCAUUCUUCGUUGUGUAAAUCUUCUCAAGCUAUAACUGUUCUUUCUCAAGCACGUCUCAUAUCUAAUGAUAUCUCACAUCAAUUUACUUAGAUUUCGAAUGGUAUAUCAAAUUCUUUGAACGGCACUCUGACUGUCGCAGUACAUAACAUAGUUGUCUCAUUUUAUAUCCAGCUCUUGUAGGAAAUUCUUCGUCCACAAUAUUUUUUUGCAACCUUCAAUAAUUGUAAUAUCAUUUGCUUUAGUGGUAGAAAAGGCAACUUAUUACUAAAGUUUAGAUUGCGAUGAGCUCCCCCUGCAAAAGUGAGCAAACAUCCUAGUACGAAUUUUUCGGAAUCAACAUCUCCUGCCAUAUCUAUACACUUGUAACACAGGUUUGUCACCACCAAAAUAUAAACAUGCUCUGGAAAUGCCUUUAAGAUAUCUGAGAAAUUUUCACUGUUGUCCAGUGCUCUUUACCGGGAUUGAAGAGAAACCACUGACUACACUAGCUGUAUAAGCAAUAUCUGGUCUUGUACAAAUUAUGGCGUACAAUAAACUGCCAACUGCUGAAGCAUAAGGAACUCCUCUCAUGGAGAAAUGGGUUUUGCUCUUGAGAAUUUUGGGAACAUAAAGAAUAAAGAUGUAAUUUCUUGGACUGCCAUUGUUUCGAGGUAUAUAAACAGAAGACAAGUCGAUAUAGCUUGACAAUGUUUUGAUCAGAUGCCAGAACGAGAUUAUGUCUUAUGGACUGCCAUGAUUGAUGGGUACCUUCGAGUGAAUAGGUUCAAAGAGGCUUUGACGCUUUUUCAGGAGAUGCAAACUUCAAAUAUAAUGGGAGACAAGUUUACCAUUGUUAGCAUUCUUACAGCUCGUGCCAAUCUGGGGGCACUAGAUCUGGGAGAAUGGAUAAAGACUUAUAUUGACAAAAACAAAGUCAAGAAUGAUAUAUUUGCGGGGAAUGCUUUGAUAGACAUGUACUGUAAAAGAGGAGAUGUUGAGAAAGCUCAAAAGGUAUUCAGGAAGAUGCUUUGAAAGGACAAAUUCUCAUGGACGACCAUGACUGUUGGCCUUGCCAUCAGUGGCAAUGGUGAUAAAGCUCUUGAUAUGUUUUCCCAAAUGCUUAGGGCUUCGAUCAAACCGGAUGAGGUAGCUUAUGUUGGUGUUCUGUCUGCCUGUUCUCACAAUGGUAACGAAACUUUUGUGAUAAAUAGUUGCAACUUAAGGUGAGAAUUGGAGGAAAGGAAAUAGACUGAAGUUGUUCAAUCAUCAGUGGUUGCUAUUUGGUUUUAAGUUGUUCAAUUAUCGGUCGUCUCUAUUUGGUUUUCUCCAAUAUCUCAUCUUCAGUUUUGACUCAGAUUCUAUCUUACCACUAUUGUUCUGUUCAUUCUAUUUGUUUCCUACAAAAUAUUUCUCCUGCCUAAAAUUUUUUGAAUCAGUAAGUUUUUAUCUUAUGCAAGAAUUGUGCUGAGAGUAAUUCCAUUUCUCAGUCUCGUUAUGUUUCAAUGAAGACGUAAAACUUGUGUUCUAGUGCACCAAUGUUUAUGCUUCUUACAAUUUGACUUUAAUUUACUUUGUAAAAUUUUUGUCAAAAAGUACUAAAAAGUAGUGCACCAAACACCAACUUUAUUAUAGAGAGGACUUUAGUUAAAUUUUAAGAAAACACUCAAAAGAAAGAGUUAUAAUUUAUUAUAGAAAUAUUUCACAUAAAUAAAAGCCAUCCCAUGCUGCAAAGAUCUUGCUAUAAUCACCAAAAACUAUCGGGAGCUUUUAGGGUUUCCAUAAAAAUGUCAUUUCGUUCCAAAAGUCAAUGGUGGGUAGAAAGUGGUGCAAAUGAGACUCAUUCUUAAUGGUAUAAGUUUUUGCUUAAUUAUGUCUUCCCCAAGAUGAUGAUUUAAUUUCCAUUCUCAAUUAAUUUUCAAGUUUCAACACUUUUCUAUGUAGCAUGACAUUGGAAAGAUCUUGUACAGUUGUACUACUAAAAGCUAGCAUCACACGUUAGUUAUUGUUAAGUUCUGUUUCAACGUGAAAUAAAGGAAGUAGUCCUUCAUUAAAACCAUUAUAGCCAAAUUUCACCUAAUUGGACACUUACAGACUUUCAUUUCAAGUUGGAUUUUGGUCCAACGUUUCAAAGUUUGGCCCAAUUAUUUUUGUCCGGUCAAGUCCUACGCAGCUAAGCCUCUCAAUGAAUGAGGGUGAGAUUGCUAAAAAUUACGACAGGUGAUAUUUUAUUAUUAUUAUUAUUAUUAUUUUUGGGGGAUAAAUCCUCACCAAAGUGAGGAGAUUUUAUCCAAAUCAAAAUAAAAAUAUAACAAGAACUGAAAGUCGGGCAGCCUAAAAGCUAGAUGAACUAAAAGUCAGGCGCCUAAAAACAACCUUAUGCAAAAGAGAAGCAAUAUGAGACCGAUCAAGUAAAAGAAUCCACCGCAACACCUAAAUUGGCCAAAUUAUCUGUUGGUAUUACAAGUUUCUUGUUAUAAAAGUGUAGAAUGAAGUAGGUGACGUAGUUUUAAGUUACAGCUGCAUGCCCAAUCGCAAUAUCAAAUAAUGCUUAAAUAUCAAAUAAUGCUUAAAGUAGUUGCCUAGGCCCGCCACAACUUAUAUUAACUCUUAAAUUUAUAAAUAAUUAAAUUUUUAAAAGUUUGGAUUUAUAUUAAAAAAUCUUCAUAUAAAUAAAUAAUAUAUGCACUUUUACAACAGUCUUUAAAUUUAAAUUUUUCAAAAAAAAUCUUCUGUAUAUCUUUUCUAUUAAAAAAAUUUCCAUAUAAAUAAAUAAUAUACCUAAUUUAAUUGGACCGAGCACAACGCACAUGCAUAGAACACAUUCCGAAAAGCCAUGCUAUUCAGAAAUUGACGAAUGAAAAGUGAGGAGGCAGCAGUCAAUGCUAUUUCGGCUUGGCCCAAAAUUGAUUUAUCAGUUUGACGUGUGCCAGGAAUGAAGAACUGGAAUAUCACCGUCAAGCAGCACCCUGUGGAGCAAUACCAUAGAAUGCACAAUCUGGCUUUGCCAGGUGACACUGGAGGCUUUUUGAAAAGUGCUUCAAAAAGCCUUUUCUGAUCGAGUCUGAGCACUCAAAUUUUGGUCCUCAGAUGGAGCUACAGCUUUCUCUCCAAUAACCAACAAUUUUCUAAACUCAGCUCCUAGUGUGAUGAGAGUUGUUGAUAUUUGUAAAUGGAGAUCCCCGUAUUUGCAAAUGGAGACAUUUACCAAAUCACCAACAUGCUUCAUCCAGUCUACGAAAUUCUGCAGCUGAUUCAAAUCCGGAACCUGAACCAGAGUCGGAGGUAAAUCUUGAGCCAUAUCUAAAGCAGUCUGAAGUUCAAGUACUUGAGCCCUUGACAAUGGUUUUGAAAUUGGAACAUCUUGGAUUACUGCAGACUUGUACCCCUUGGUUUCAAAGGUAAGGAAAGGCAUUGCUUGAGUACAAUUUGGAGGCAGCUUCUUCACCAAUUUUAUUUGGAGGCAAUUGGCAGCGGAUCCAGCUGCACCAAUUUCAGAGCAAAUACUGACACUACUUCAAACAGCACGCUGAAGAAGAGAUAUGUCUAUGGCAAAGACAAUGCAGUCCUCAUUUUGACUUGAGAUGCGGUAAUCAUCAAAGAGAGUUUCCUUGUGAAACUGGGCAACACAUUGAAUCCCUUCACCACUGAGAAGGUUGUGGAGGAAGCAAGCUUUCUCUCUAGUAAGGAAGAGGUGGCAUACCUUCCCCAUUUUGUCUAGGACAGGUAGGAAUCUUUUUUCUAAGAGAUUUACUCCAUUCUCUGUGAGAAAUGCUUUGAACUUCAUCCCUCUGUCUCUAUCCUCACUUAUCAGUAAAAUAGUUGAAAGCACUACAAGGAGAGAAAAGAAGAGUAUUAAGAUAUAUAUAGACAAGAAAAACAUUAGAUGUCGAUCUUACAAGCUAAUACUUCAAACAGUAUCCUAGAAAGCUAAAAACUGCAAAAUGGCUUGAAAUUUGAAAAGAACACAUGCUUUUCCUCCUUAACUUGAGAAAAUGUUUAAUAUAGUGCACCUUACAGAAACAUUUAAGCAAUUAGAACUUUGCACAAAAACAUUCAAGAAGACUAAACAAAUCAGAUGCAGUGUAUUUCUCCAAGCACAAAUGGCAUUGCAUUUUCUCCUCAACUGUAAUAUUUAUUGAUGAAAAUCAGUACAGGUCCCUCAUUUGUUAUGGAAAGCUUUCUUGUAGUCUGACCGGUUAAUUCACGGGUCUAUAAUCAUCUUGCAAAGUUACAGGCAUUUCUUUCGAUUUAAAGUCUUUGCAUCACCACCUCAUCACACACCAAGCCAAUAUUCCGUCUACCUCUACAACAAAAAGUUUUAAGUAAACGAUCCUAAUGCAUGCAGCCAAAUAAAAUGCAGUAAGAAUAUUCAACUUAAAACUCUGAAAGCCAUCUUGGUGAAUUGCCUCCUUAGGGGAAGUUCCAUGCUUUACUAUACUUGACAGGACUGAGCAAAAGCUUCCAUACGACAGAUUUUGACAAUAAUGAUGCCAACAGAUCCUCAUUAAAUCCAUUAAAACUCCAAAGGUUCAUUGUUCAUGGAUGUUUACAGAGUUUUGGUCAUCAAAUAGCUCAGACCACAAUCCCAAACAAAAAAGGAGUGAAAAUUAGAUCACCAGCAGCUAAUUGUAAAUUCUAACUUAACUCUUCAUCUCCUUUGUAAACAGGAGACAAAAUGGAGACACGCAAAAUGAAUAAGGAGAACAUUUGAACUCAAAUGAAAUGAGGGCACGAAAUCAAACAAAUGGCAUGCGCAAACAAACCAAGCCUCAAUCAAAAACUAAAUAACCAUUAAGAAAAAAAAACUGGUCAGAGAAUGAACUCCAAAUUCGGGAGUGAAGCAAGAAGCUUUCAUUAUUUCAGAAGCUCCUGUACAAAUUAAUAAGUUAUGCUCUUUGGAAACAAACCUAAAUUCCAAGAGAAACAGAACUCAAAAAAUUUGCAAUUAUACGCAAAGGAAGCGAAGCACAGCAUUCUAUCACACGUACAAAUUGUAUAACAAGAGAUCGACACAUCGAAUCAGAAGAAUUCAAUUCAAAUUUGUCUCAAAAAUCAAAAUUAGAAGAUUUCACAUUUCGAGAGGAACAAGCGACAGGUCAGAUGCACAAUUUUCAACCACAACAUGCCACAAUUAACGGUUUAUUUCCAUGGAUUUAGAGAGCUGACUGACCUUUUGGCUUUUGGAAUUGAGAAGAACGCGCGCCAAAAUGGAAGAGGGAAAGCGAAAGUGCGGGUUUCAAUAGGGUAUUGGAUUAGCAAAUUUUAUUAGUUUGCGAGGGUAAAAUAGGAAAGAGAUAUCACUAUUAACUUUUUUUUUUAUAAGAAAAAAGAAUAAUAAAGAAUAUUUUAUUGUCAUUUGCAGCAUUUAAUUUUUUUUAAAUGCUAUUAGAAAAAAACGACAAUAAAGAAAUGCUCUUUUUUUAUUUUUUUCUCGAAGGUAAAAUCAAUUAUUUAGCGUCUUAUAUGUAAUCUAACUCCAUUUCUUACUUUAAGUCAUAUCCAACUGACCAAUAAAGUAAUUGUUUUUUUUUUCAUUCAUUUUUACAGAAAAUUAAUAUUGAAAGCUAUUGUAAAAAUUUUUAUUAUCAACCUCAUAGUUUAAUUUUUUUGGGGAAGAAUUGAAUUUUUUUUUUUAAUUUCCAAGAAUUUCAUUCUCUAGUUUUUCCAUUAAUAUUACUUAUCUUGAUACCCAUCUUAAUUAAAAUCUGUAGUUUUAUUCAGGAGUCAUGCUAUUCAUUCACUCACAGACCAAAGGCUUUCCGCAGCAAUAUUAUUAUUUAAAUUACAACAAAGGGGAAAUCAAAUACGUCAUACAGAAGCUUAAAGCUGAAUCUACAAAAUCUAGAGCUCUCAACUACAAAAAUUACACUUGAUGAUCCUCUACAAGAUGAAACUUGUUCAAUAUCUCAUCCAAAGCUUGUAAAGUAACCUUGUAACGAUCUUGAGAUUGCCUGCCUUCCUCGACGACCUGCACGAUGCGUUUGUACAAAUCAUCAUACCUGUGCACCGGAUUUUUAAUAUCAACGCCACUGCAGCUGUGAUCAAGAACAUAAGAGCGUUUAACAUCUUUUCUCCAUCGAGAAAGAAUGUAGUGAGGUGGGAUCUCCUGCAUGCCACUCUGGUUUAGAACACAAAGAAUGUGUCUGCAUAAAUAUCCUCUGAAAUUGAACAACCCACAAACACAAAGCACCUCCUGCAUAAAUAUCUUUCUCGUUGCUACCAAUCUCAAAUUCUUCCUUCACUAUCUAUGUUAUAGGUCCAUCAGCACUGACAUGUUUUGUGCUAUAGCAAGAGUACAUAGCCUCCACCUCCGUCUGAAACUUCCUUAACAUUUCAUUUGUGUACAGUUUUGAGAGUUGAAAUUCAUAGUAACAUCUUGGUUUCUGGAUACAACUUGAAUUUCUUGAAUCCAUAUCUGCCAAGGCUUCCAGUUGAUAAUUCGCCUGCAGUGCUUGAUCAUACUUGUCUAAGAAUUCUUUCAAAGGAGUACUCUUAUCAAGAUAUCCUUCAAAGUAUGAAGUAGAAACCUCAUUCUGCAGGAAUGAAAACACUCCUGAUAAAAAUGCUUCCUUCAAAUAAACAGGAGCCCACCUUUUACGAUCUUCAUAUAAAGUUUGAAUCCAUCCAUGAUCCUUUAUUCCAUGACGUUGAAUCGUGUCCUCCCAAGCUGUCUCAAAUUCCUCAGGCCUAAGAGAGUGAUAAAUUGCUCUAUGCAAUGCAGCUCUAACAGCUUCAUAUUCAAACAAUCCUUGGAGUUUCUCUGAAAUUUUUUGCAUGACGCAUGACAAUGAAAAGCAAUGAUAAGCUCUUGGGAAAGCAUUGCUGACGGCAGUUUUCAAGAUUCUACAUUGGUCAGUGAUGAUUGUUUGUGGACAGCGUCCUAACAUACAUGUAAGCCACGCCCUAAACAACCAUGUAUAUGAUUCUAUAGUCUCACUGGCGAGUAAACCACAGCCCAACAGCACUGAUUGUCCAUGAUGAUUCACCCCAAUGAACGAAACCAGUGGUACAUCAUAUCUUUCUGUCAAGCAUGUAGUAUCAAUUAAGACUACAUCACCAAAGUACCUAUAUGCAACUCUUGACCUGGUAUCAGUCCAGAAGAGGUUUCUCAGGCAUCCCUUUUCAUUUAGAUCCACCACAUUAAAAAAGUUUGGAUCUGUCAACUGCAAACGACAAAAGAAACUCUGGACAGCUUGUGCAUCUCCUGGUUUAAGCUUCAAUUGAUUUGAGCUAUUAACAUCAUUUCCAAAUACUCCAUUAACAUCUAUAUUACCAUUUCCCUCGGUAUCAAGGAUAAGAGUUCGAAACAGUCUAAUUUUUUGAACUUCUUCAGCACCAUCUAAGAGCAAUGUUCUUUUGGUUCCAAUACCCAUGUGCUUAUGAGACUUGUAAAACUUUCCGCUUCUUGGGCUUAACAAACGGUUAUGCUCAAGCUUGACUUCAAUGAUUCUCCACCUUUUGGUUUCCAUCAACCUAAACUUUAUCAUUGCUGGACAGCCAGUUCUUGUUUCUGGUCUUGGGCGGUUUGCCUCGCUUUUCUUCUUUAAGCCUGCACUACUACAGCUCAGCUUUCCUCUAUACUUUUCUCUACUCUUUCGGUACCAUGUAUUGCUAACUCUAACACCAAAACCCUGUUCCUUGGCAUAGCAAUUAUAAAAGUAAUAUACGUCAUCAUACGUCUCAAACUCCAUCCCAACAGCAGGAGGCAAUGGAUUUUGGAUUAUCCCAGUUUGUCCAACAUAUUCAGUCAUCGCACAAUCUCCUAUUCAAAAUCAUCAGCGUCAUCAUCACCUACGGGUUCAGUAUUCAGAGAAACUUCAUCCAUCUACAAUAGAUGUUUAAUGAAGUGAGCUUUAAGGAGAAAAGGCAAAAUCAGUUCAAGGAAUGAUAAUAAAACCGUACAGUUACUUUCACAAAGCUUCGUAUUUCAUCACUACUUUAACAACAUGCAACUGCCUGAGAACAUACAGACAUGUCAUAGAUGCUUGAAUUAAGUAUUGAUACAAAUUAGCACACAUCAUGUGGGACACAAUUUCAGUCACUAAACCCAAUACCUUUUUUUUACAUCAUACCAAGAAACAGAUUAAACCCAAUACCUUCUUUUACGCCAUACCAAAGAACAGAUUAAAUCAUCAAUGAAAAAUUAAUCACAUAAUAAUUUAACUAGACAAUUGAAGAGCUCAAAACAGCACAAUACUUGAAUCUGAUUAUGAUAAUUGUUGAGUCCUUGUAUCGACAGCUUUCCUUCAAUGAGAAGAUUAUGAACAUAAACUACACACAAAAAAAAAAAUUAUUUAAACUGACAGCCCAUGAUAUAAAUCAAACAAAAUUAACUCCUUUUACAAAUCACAUCUUGUAUUCAUUUACAUCGAAACAUAAAAAGGAAGCAGGAGCCAAAAAAAACAACAGCACAGAAACUUCUUUCCAUAAGGUUUACGAAAUAAGGAAUUUAUUAAGACACAAAAUUUGAGGUCACCUAUAAUAAUUUGGUUCUCAUUCUCUUUUUCUUCAUUUUUCACUUAUUGAUGGAGUUAGCAUACAAUCCUAAAUGAUAAAACCCCAUCUCCAUUUUUGAACUAGAGCUAAAGCAAAGCAUUUUAGGAUUCAUCAUUUUUUUUUCUAAAAGACUCAAUAGUACAAUGUUUUUCAAUAUUAAAUACACAACUCAAUCUUCUCCUAAUUUACUCUAAUAAUCUCUUAACUUAGGAAGAUUAAGCUCCACUUGUAAGCUAAAACAAUUUUCUUAAAUCAAGCCCCAAUGCUCUAUACUAUUCAACAAGGCCUCAUAAAUGAUAAAACUACCUCUACAAAGAUACCCAUUUUAGUUUCGCAAACUAAAAUCAAACUCCUGAAACGUAACGAGCAUUAAAACAAACAAGUCCGAACAAGAACUGAAAAAUCAUACAUAAACUCGUUUACACGCUUCGAAAAACACUUUGAAAUUCAAACGAAACAUACCUUAGGUUGAUAAAUUAGUAGCGCAAAAGAAAUUUUAGUGAGAUAUGGGAUCAGGGUUUUUGCCACGGUGAUGUUAAUUGCGACAUUGGGGUGACUCAGCAGCCUUCGAGGCUGAAACUUUGAUUGACCAAAAGCUUCCCGUUCGUUGAUUAUCUAAUUGCAGAAACGAAACUCGCAGUGUACAGAAGAAGUACGCUGAUUUGAUAAUUCUGUGAAAAUCAUUGUUUUUUUGAGAUUUUUAAUGUGUUCGGUAAAUAUCAAAAUCUCAAAAACUUGUCUUUCAUUUUGGGGGGAAAAACCCAUUGAGAUCCUUAUGUUUUUUCUUAUAUAAUCUGGCUUAAUAAUUUGCAAAGUCUAUUACUUUGCACCCAUGCAUGCUGCGUUUCAAUUUUACAAAAUUGUACGUGAGUGCAUCCAGCUAAAAUUUGUAAAAAGAAAAUAACAAUAACAUGUUAAAAAUGUGAUGAUUAUGAAGAAAUUUUAAUUUAGUUAAAUAGGUGACGAUGGAUAGGUAUAAAAUCUGAGAUCUUUUAUGAGAUUAAUAAGUAUGUUGAGUUUGGAUUAGUUCAAUUUUGACAUAAUACAGAAUAAACACAAUCUGCUAAUCUAAGUUAUCAUCUUUUCUCGUCAUCAGGUACCUGUUUGAAAAAUAAUUAUAUACAAUUUUAUUUGCGUUGUCUCUCCAAAAAUUUUGGACUCGAAUGUUAUUUUUAAUUGCUAAAAGUACGAAAAUGCCCCCUUUCUCUUCAGCUAAAGGAGUGCAAAGUCAUCUGUAUAAUUGAAUCUGCAUCAUCAGUUUCUAUUGCUGGCUGGUGUUACUGCAUGCUUACAGUUGCUUGACAAAGUGAGCCAGUUUUUUGUUUAUUAAUUUUUUUUCUUGUCGAGACAGUCACAAAGUAUUACUUGUUCCAUAUGAGAAUGAUGUGAAUCAAUUUUUCAAUUAUGCAUUCUGUGGUAAUUAUUGUGAAUUUAGUUUCAUUUGUCUUGUCUCCUGCAAAUUUUGAAGAAAAUGCAGACAUACAAACUUACAAUAUGGAAGAGUUCACUGGAAAAAACUUUGUGAAAGCUUCCAAGUGAAACAGGGAAUGGGCUUACUAGUAAAGGACAAAUUGGUGGCCAGCUAAUGCAUUCAUUCUAUGUCCAUUCAUCUUUUCGAAUUAUUGAAGACAAGUGGCUCACCACUUUUAGUAUUGGUAAAAUUCAGAUAAUCUCUAUUCCGAAAUAAUAAUAUUCAAAAUAUCUCUUAAAUCAUUAUAAACCUGAAAUCUAUUUUAAUUUUAUUUAAAAGAUAAAAGAAAAAUAGGUUAUGUUGGUGAUUUUUUAUUAUCUUUUUAAUAAAAAUGAAAUAAAUUGAUGUUUAUAAUUAUUUAAAGUAUUUUAAAGAUUGCUAUUUUAUGAGAGAAUAAUAUUUCACUUUUUUAGUGUGAAAGAUUGAAAAAGGACAAACCAAGUUUCCCUAAUUUUUAUUUUAUUUGAAAUUGGUCAUCUCACAUACUUCACCCUUCAACAUUAUAAUUUUUUUGGUUAUAAUUUUAUUAUUUUUUCUCUUUUACACAUGCAUGUGAAUUACUUUUCUUUAAGCUCCUGAAUAUUUAAGACAAAUCAUGGAAGAGAUGAGAGUAUAACAAGAUGAUCAAAAUAUGUAACAAAAAAAUUUUAGAAGUGAAAAAUAUGUUAGAGUCGAAGUAAAACUCUGAGGUGAUGUUUGAUUUGAAGAAAAUGGAGGAGAGGAAAAGAGUGGAAUGGAGAGGAAAAUAGAG